Molecule: long non-coding RNA, 86749 nt
Filed under: Ananas comosus (pineapple)
Lineage: Eukaryota; Viridiplantae; Streptophyta; Magnoliopsida; Poales; Bromeliaceae
Description: long non-coding RNA (ACOM_LNC011788)
Source: RNAcentral
GCACCAUAAGUUUGAAGGCCCCUGCACACUGCUGGAGGGAGGAGGCUGGGUGGGUUGGAGGGAUUGGGGGGCAGGCAGCCAGCCUUUAGGUUUGGGAUUGGGCUUGAGAGGAGGAGAAGGGGGGAGGGGCUAGGAAAUAAUUAGGUUUAGAUAGGGAUGGAGGGGGAAUUAGUAGGUAAUAAUAAUUGAAUUUAGGGGUAUGGGGAGGGGAGGUAAUAAUUGGGUUUAGGGAGGUUAUAGAGAGUUAUAGAGGAGGGAAAAAGGGAGGGAGAGAGAUAAAGAGACGCUUGUAUCUAUAAAGAAGGGUAACCAUCUUUGAGAGGGUGUGAGAGGGAGACAAGAGGAGAGAAAAAACAAAAUUUGAUAGAUAACAACCAGUGCCAGAGUAACGAAAUGAUAGGUAACAACAACUGAUAGAAAGGAGAGGGGUGGGGGGAGAGGGAGAGGAAGACUUGGGAGUGAGAGGAGCCGAGUGAACGACAUGUGGCACCGACAAACUGAUGAUUUAUGUAUUUGUAUAGAUUGCCUAGUUUCACGUAGACUUCUGCUUGAAAAAUAUUGGAGUUAGCACAUGUACAGUAACAAUACCAAGCUUGGUGAAUAUAUUCUUUAUUUUGGUUGGGAAGCAUGUGGACGACAUCUAGAGCUUUAUAUUCAUUUUUGAAAAUCUUCAGCUAUCUGAUUUUACUAAUCCAUCAUGGUGAUAAAGUUGAACGUAUCAAUGGAUAUCAGAAGAUUCUAAACUUAACCCAGAUUGCAAUUUUAUGUGUAAUAAAUUUUCAUGGGUUGUAAUUUCAAGAGUAGCGAUUUUGAAUAGCAAAUGAAUUAAGGGCCUUGGAACUUUGUAAUGGAAAAUAUGGUUCAAUUAACUCGUUGAUGUAUUCUAUGGGAUGAAAAUUUGCAUUGUUGGCUUAGAGUGUGUUUGGUUCCACGUAAAACUGUGAAAAAAAAAUUUCGGUGAAAAAAAAUUUUCGGAGAAAAAUAAGUUUUACGCUCUUUAAUGUUUGGUUUGUGGGAAAAGAAACUAGUAUUCUAUUACGGUUGUUUGGUUGAAAGAAAAAGAAAGAAGUUAUAAAUAAAAUACUGUUAUAUCGAUUUUUUAUUUUAUAUAUUAUAUAUUAUUGAUAUAUAAUAAUUAUUAUAUUACAUAUAUUAAUAUUAUAGUUUAUAAAUAGAAAUAAAAUAUGUUUUAAAAAUAUUAUACAAUAAGAAUGUAAUAUAAUAUAUAAUAGUAUAUAUAUGUAACACUAUAAAAUAAAUUAAGUUUUUUAUAAAAUAUUAUAUAAUUUGUAUAUUUAUAUUAAAAAUUAAAUAUUAUCUUUAUAUAUGUGUGUAUGUGUGUGUCAAUGAAGAGGAGAGGUCCACCGUGGACCUUUCUCAUGCGGUCCACGAGGUGGAGGGGGUUGUGGAUUGCGUGCCUUUGUUCCCUAACGCGGGGCGGUGAACGCUGCGUGUUUUUGUUUUCUGCUCGCUUCGAGCGGAAAACAAAAAACCCUCGUUUUCCUUAUAAUCCGUAAAAAAAAAUUUUCGAGAAAACUUUUUUACAAGAAAACAAACAACGGAAUGUUACUUUUUCAUGAAAAAAAAAAUUAGGUGAUUUUACAAGGAGCCAAACACACCCUUAGGACCUUCGAUCCAAAACAUAACCAAAAAAAUUCCUUCCCGAGCAAGGAAGAAGGGUAGGAGAGAACAACUACUAAGAGUUAUACCACGUAAAUGAGGGUCCGAUGCAUUGGAAUUGUAAAAGUUGUGUUGGUUCUCAAUUAGUUUAUAUUGAAGAAAAUGAUUUUUUUUUUUUUUUUGACAUUCAUAACCUUAAAGGUUGGUAGGAAAGUAAAAAUAGUAAUUCGCGCUUGUUGAGCUCACUACACUGGGCCUUUUUGUUAUUUGGUCCUUUUUCUUCAGGCUAUGUAAUUUUGGUGAAGCCAAAUCUCCUAUUUCUUUGUUUUCUAACUGUCUUUUGGCCUCUUACUUGUAAGCCUUUGGAUCAUGAUCUUUUGAUCCAAAGGUCCAUAUUUGAUAGCUUCUUGUCUUAGGAGCUAAAGUGGGGGUGAUUAGAAUAUAAAAGAAUUAGAGAAGUAGAAAGUAAAAAAAUGUGGAAAAAAAGAGAAAACCCUAGAGCUUGGUUUAAUUUUAGUUUUAUCUAGAAGGUGGGAUUUUCCUUGUGAGGUGUGGUUUAUGCCAUUUUGGUAGAGUUAGAGAUUGUUAGAGCUCUCUUUGUACCUUGGAGUGAAGGUAGUAUUUUUCCUUUUUUUUUUCUCUUGUAAGCUCCAAGUUUUAUAAUGGAAGUUUUUUUUGCAUUGUUCUCCAGUGGAUGUGAGCAUAGUUGAACCACGUAGAAAAUUGUGGUUUUCUUUAUUUUGUGAUUGCUCAUGUGUUUGGCUUUCUAUUGAAUGCUUAUAGGGUGUGAAUUGUGAAAUUGCCCAUAAAGUGUUUGCGAAAUUGAUUUUAAUAUUUUUCACCCUCAUUUUACAACAAUUGGUAUCAGAGCUUGAUUGGUGGUUAUCUAAACAUUCACUUGUUUUCAUUCACUCAUCUUUCAAAUAGAGAAGGUAAUAGAAUUUGAGAAGUUGAAUGAGAGAAAUUGGACUAUAUGAAAAAUCAUGAUAGAGGAUUAUUUAGUUGCAAAAGAGCUUGAUUUACCAAUAUUAGAAAAGUAUGCAAAGCCCACUAGUAUAGAUAUUCUUGAAUGGGAUCUACUUGGCCGAAAAUGUUUAGCGGUGAUUAGGCCAUGUAUUUUACCAUUGAUCUUGUUUGAUCUCUAUCAAUGCAAGACUGCAUCCAAGUUGUGGGAGACUUUGGAGCAAUCAUUUGAGUAACCUUUUGGUGUGAACAAAAUGCAUGCAAUAAAGAGACUCAUUCUCUUGAAAGUGCAAGAAGGUUCUACAAUUUGCAAAUAUGUGAGUUCGUUCAAUUCCAUUAAGGCACAAUUGAAGUCUCUCAAAAUAAACUUUGAUGAAGAAGCCUUUUCUUUACUCUUUUUAAGUUCUUAAUCUUUAAGUGGGAUAUUUUUGUUACACUGGUGACGAACACAAUAUAUGACAAAUUCAAGUCAAAUGAUAUUUUUGCUUAUUGUUGAAUGAGGAAACUUGCAAGGCCACAUAUUAAUUGUCUAGUAAUAUGAGUCAAGCACUAAAAAUUGUGAAAGAGGAAAGUCGCCAAAGCAAUACUAAUCUUCUUACACAGGGAAUAUUUAAAAGUAAGGAAGGUCAAAGUGAUAAGGUAAAACGCUUAUUUGUUGGUAUUACAAGCAAACGGACCAUGUAAAAAAGGAUUGUUAUUGUCACGCCCGGGUACUAGCGGAAGCAUAUCCGGCACGUGCACAGACCCGCCAUACACCUGCAGUAUAUAAGGCGUCUAUAAAGAAAGCAUGUCGAUAGGAGGAAAACAUAGAAGGAUCCUAUCCUGACAUCAGAGCAAGUAUAAGUCAAUAAUACCAUGAACAGAAGCACAAAGAGUACACAACCCAAAAUCUCACAUCAUAGAGAAAUAUCAAAAUUACAAUCCCCGAUCCAAACCACAUACAUUACAGGGUACACAAAAUACAUGUACAAUGGUAGUCUCUCUAUACACGGGUACAUCACCCUCGGCCGUGGCACGAGUAGCAAGGUGAUCACCUAGUAAAACCGUAAGCUAGGUCUAGCUAGCGACACCCUUGCCGCGAUCCCUAGCCUCUUCUGUAGGUAGCUUUGUAAAAGCAACAAUAAAAAGGGUGUAAGAACUAUUAAACAAUAGUUCCCAAUGGGUAAGCCGCCAGCCUCGGCGAAUUACACCACUAGGCUCAUGAUGUACUAAAUGAAAGUAAAAGCAGUAAUUGCAUGAUAUAUUUACAAUGCUAACAGGUAAUGAGCAUGUAAUCAACAUGUAAUCAUACAUUCUACAGCAAUGAAUCAACUGAAUAAUAAAAGCAUAGCAAUUACUGUAAGCAUGAACAUAAACAUGAAUAUAAGCAUAAACGUGUAAGUAAAUACUGUACACUAUAACUGGUAAUCAAUCCUUACUACCAUCUGUCAUUUAGAACUUUAAUUUCAUUCAUAAGGACCUACACAAGGUAGUCCAGCUUGCGCCGCGCCUAAUGGCCCCGUGGUAGUAUGCACUUCCCACGGCAAUCCACUUCGGCACUCAAUCCUGCACUGGCGAGCAAUCUGUCGCAUAGGCCAACUCCGGAGUGCCGGCUUGUAGGGAGCUACCCUCACAAGCGUGUGCGAAUGAGUACAAUGACAAGCAAGCAAAGUCAAUAAUCCAAUAUGUCUCGAACGUCAUGUCAUAGUAUGCAAUGUUCUCACUCUCGAUCUAUUGAUCGGAAUUCUCAAUAUAAUAACAAUGACACUAGCUAGUAUCCACUAGAUUAGUAAGCACAUGAAAGUAAUGCUAAUUUACAUAUGGCAUUAAAAAAUUUCCACUAUCAAGGUACUAUCAAAAUAGUUACAAAGAAUAUCAUUGUUCUUUACUUUAUAGAAGCAUAAUAGAUAUGUCCAUUAGUUAUUCAACUGAACUAAACAUAAACAUAAAUACUUUUAUGCAUAAGUGUUCUCUACUUCAUAGAGGUUCCAUUUCAAUUAUAUCAAAUGUUAUGGUGAUAUGUUCCAAGCCCUUUAUCAAUCGCAUAAUCACAAAAACGCACAUAUGUGUCAAUUCUAUGGUAUCAUAUAGAACAUAGGGGAGCUUCACUUGUUCUGGUCAAACCCACCUAUCACUAAGCUCAAUCCAGCCCAAAAGAGUCCCGAAAUUCAGCUCAACUGGUUCAUGAACCUGCUGAAAAACAAGUAUCAAAAUCGCAUCGAAACUACAACCGAAAUGUCCAAUUUCGGCACAAUUCUCACUUAAUACAAGGUAGUAACUUAAAUCCCUGUUUUGGUUCACUUUAGUACCUCAAGUUCAACCUCCAAAAGCUCUCACAAGUCAGCCAAAGACGAUCCAAGGGUCGAUUGCACCCUCGCUGCGAACAACACCAAAACGGCAUCAAAAUACUUGUAUACAAGUUAAUAUAGCCGAAAUCUUGCGAAAUCAGUUUUCUAACUGAAAUUUCAGCUUACGCCUGGUUGAAACACCUUCUAAACCAGCCCCCAAGGUCACCAAUUUAACGUAAAAUGAAUCGGAAACCUGCUGCGAAGAAAUCAUUCCAAACUGCAUCAAGUUGCUCAAAUAAACCGCGUUUCGUUCCGAAAUAGAAUUAUAAAUAACUCAUUACCUUUCUCAAGCUUCAAAGCAACUUUUCCUUGGACUAAAAUGGAGAAAUCACAACUAGAUAACUCCUCUCUAGCUGCUGGAAUCCUUCUCCAACUCAGCUGGAAGCAACGAAACCAAAACGCAUCAAAAUCCGACAUUAAACCACAAACUAGAGAGAAAUUGAGCUAAAUACCUCUCUAAAACUCUUUUUCAGCAACUCCCUGCUUUAGACAUGAAGAACACUGCCAAAACACUUCAUUUCACCCUUUAAAAGCUGGCCCCAAGUCCACCCAAACAGCAAGCAUCGAGCGGGGCGCGAAAUCGGCAUGAAACCUGCGAUUCCUACUUGAAGAGAGAGAAAUCCUAGAGAGAGAAAGUGGAGAAGGUGAAAGAACCUUUCUUUGAGCUCUAGCAACCUCCACCAGGCUCCAGGAGUCGUGCUGGGGUCAAAUAGAUAGGGACAAGAAGUGAAAUUACAAAAAUAGCCUUGCUGCCACGUAUCUGCCAAUGUGUACCGGUACAAGGUGAUGGCUGUACCGGUACACAAUGCAAAAUUUCGCUAGAAAUGCACUUUCUUGCUUCUGGCCAUUCAAUCACUUCUCUAACUUGUCCAAAAGUUUGUCUAAGCUUUUUAGAAGAUGUAGGAUAGUUCCACAUAUCAUUCCACACACUUGAACUUCGCAAUUUGCUAAAGGUCAGUGUAUUACAGUUAUGCUUUGAAAAUCAAGCAAAAAGGUAAAGAUAAGGAUGUCAAGAAUAAACUAACAAUACUUCGGAUGGUUAAGGUGGAGUCACAUUAAGUAUUGCUUGCAUAGUCUCUUCUUGUGGAAACACCGGGUUUUGGAUUCCAAUGCUUUUUUUCAUGUUUCUCUGGAUCGGUUAUAUUUUUAUAUUUUUGUACAUAUAAAAAAGGAGAUAUUGAAUAUGUUUAUCUUGGUAAUUAUCGAGCAUAUAAAAUUGUGGGUAUUGGUGACAUUGUUAUAAAACAGAUAAAUGGCAAGAAGUAUAUAUUGGGAAAUGUGCGUCAUGUUCCAAAGAUCACAAAAAACUUAAUAUCUGCAGGACAAUUGAAUAAUUUCGGUUUCAUUAUCACUUUUGAAAAGGGCUUUUGCAAGAUAUUAAGUAGGAUGACUAUUUUGAAAGUGCAAAAAGAUGAAAGUCUCUAUACACUUCGUGGAAUCGUUCAAAAGGGUGAUGAUCCAAAUUUGGUGAUUGCUAUCGCAAGCAAAGGCGAAGAUAUGCAAGUUUGGCAUAAUUGGCUUGGUCAUCUAAGUGAGCAUGGUAUGAAGGUAUUACAAGAAUAUUACAUUAUUCCAUAUAGAGUUAACUCACAAAAAAAAAGAGAUGCAUAGAGGAGGCAAGCUAUUAGAAUUGGUUUAUUCCUAUAUUUGUGGUCAUUUCAAUGUUAAGUCACCUGGAGAUGCAUACUACAUUACUUUCUUAGAUGAUUAUUCUGGAAAGUAUUGGAUUUAUCCUUUGGCUUUAAAAUAUCAAGCUUUUGAAAUUUUUAGGAAAUCCAAAGCCUGUGUUGAAAAAGAAAGUGAACAUUUUAUUAAGUGCUUGCAAAUCGACAAUGGUCGUGAAUUUUGCUCUAGCACCUUUGAUGAUUUUUGCUUAGAAAAUGGCAUCAAAAGAGUGAACCCCUCAACAAAAUGGGAUUGUUGAAAGAAUGAAUCAAACUAUUGGGGAGCGGAUUUGAAUUAUGUUGUCUCACUCCAGUCUACCAAAGCCUCUUUGGGUUGAUGCAGCAAAUACGGCCGUUUACUUGAUUAAUAGAUCACCUAUGUUGCUUUGGAUAGAGACAUUCCGGAAAGUACAUGGACUAGCAAAGACAUUUUCUAUGGGCAUUUGAGAAUAUUUCGGUGUGAAGCAUAUAUUCACAUUCCAAAAGAACGUAGAACCAAGGAUUUAAGUGCCGAUCGGCACGGGCUGUAUCUACCGUGUAGUACCGUGCCAACAAGAUAUCGGCAAGAUAGAACCCCCAUGUCGAUGGCAUAGUUCAAAAUUUUCUAUUUUUUAAAUUAGUAAGUAAUUUUCUUAAUAAAGUUUAAAAGAUUUGAUAAAAAUACAUAAUAAACAGUUAAAAUAUUUUGUUGCUAAAAAAAAUAAAUAUUUCAUGCUAUUAUGUGUCAGCACACGUGAAUUUUGUGACCGGCAUGCAUUGGCACGGUCUGGCACGCACCGUGCUGUACCGUGCCGGCAAGUUUUUGGCACAACCCAUGCCACGACACUUAAAUCCUUGCGUAGAACAAUGCUUGAUAAAAAUCAAGGAAAUGUGUAUUUUAUGGCUAUGGAGGCAUGGGUUGGGCCAUAGGCUUUGGGAUCCCAUUGCUAGAAAAAUUUUUCGGAGUCGGGAUGUUGUGUUUAGAGAGGACGUAAUGUUUAAAGAAGGUACAGAAGAAGAGCAAAAGAAAGAUAAGCUUGUUGUUGAUGUACAAGUUGAUGGUUCUUCUCAAGAUGUGCACGAAGUUUAUCCUCUACUUUAUAAUAGUAAUGUUGGUUAUGAUAGUAAUGUUGAUCAUGAAGAAAGUAUACAAUCUGUUAAAACUCUGCAUGAUUUCUCAUGAAAACGAUGACAAUGUGUCUACCCCAGAGGGACAUGAAUUGAGAAGAUCAACUAGGCCACACAAACGCACCCAUAGAUAUUCCUCUUUCUUGUACUACACUUUAUUUACUAAUUCGGGUGAGUCCGAGUGUUUUCAGGAAGGAAAAGAUUGUCCUAGAGAAGCAAAGUGGAAAAGGGCAAUAGAUGAUGAGAUGGAUUUCUUACAUCAAAACCAUACUUAGGAAUUGGUAGAGCUUCCGGUCGAAAAGAAAGCAUUGAAAAAUCGACGGGUUUAUGUGAUUAAGAAUGAAGUCGGCAAGGCUUGAUGUUAGCGGCUAUGGACAAAAGCAAAGUAUUGACUUCAAUGAAAUAUUUGCUCCUAUUGUUAAGCAUUGCUCAAUUAGAGUUGUUUUAUCCGUAAUUGCAGAUUUGGAUCUUGAGCUUAAACAACUUGAUAUUAAAAUCGUUUUCUUGCAUGGUGAUUUGGAUGAAGAAAUUUACAUAUUUAAACCCAAAGGCUUUGUUGAUGAAGCUAAUCCUAAUUUAGUAUGUAAGCUAAAAAAGGGAUUGUAUGGUUUAAAUCAAGCAUCUAGACAAUGGUAUAAGAAGUUUGAUUCUUUUAUGCAAGAUAAAGGCUACAAAAGAUGUGAUUUUGAUCAUUGCUCAACAUAUGACUCUUUCACUAUUUUGUUACUAUGUAUGGAGGAUUUGUUGAUUGUUAGUAAUCAAGGAUUUAAGUGACGUGGCACGGGGUCGUGGCGAAAAUUUACUGGCUAUGCUAAUGCGUGCCGGUUACAAAAAGUACAUGUGUGCCGAUACAUAAUGGCAUGAGAUAUUUAUUUUUUUAACAACAAAAUAUUCUAACUGUUUAUUAUGUAUCUUUAUCAAAUCUUUUGAACUUUAUUGAAAAAAUUACUUACUAAUUUAAAGAAUAGAGGGUUUUGAAUUGUGCCGUCGGCAUAGGGGGCUGUAUCGUGCCGAUAUCUUGUUAGCACGGUUCAGCACGAUGGAUAAAGCCCAUGCCGAUGGGCACUUAAAUCCUUGGUAGUAAUGAUCAAAAUGAUAUUACAAAAUUAAAGCUUGACAUGUCGAAAAAGUUUGCUACUAAAGCAAGAAAAAUUUUGGGCAUGCAAAUUAGAAGGGAUAGGGAGUAUGGCAAGUUGUAGCUUAGUCAAUCGGACUAUAUUUCCAAGGUUCUUGAAAGGUUUGAAAUGAAUGACUGUAUGCCGUUAGCCGAGCAUUUUAAGUUAUCCAAAAAGACAAAAGAAUGAGACCGAAAGAGAUAAAAGAAAGAAUGUUUUUUAUAAUUCUGCCAUUGGGGGUUUGAUGUAUGCUAUGGUUUGUACAAGAUCAGACAUAGCUUAUGCGGAUGGAGUUAUUUCAAGAUAUAUGUCCAAUUCGGUAAAGUAGCAUCGGCAAGCCGUUAAGUUGGUUCUUUGGUAUUUGAAAGGCUCACAAAAUGUUUGCAUAUGUUUUGACGAAACUUCUUUGGAGGUUGAAUAAAUAUGUUGAUUCUGAUCAUGCCAGUUGUAGAGAGACAAGAAAAUCCAUUAUGAGAUAUAUUUUCACAUUUGGAGGUAGUGCGGUUAGUUGGAUUCUAGGUUGCAAGACAUUAUUGCUUUGUCCUUUACGGAAGCGAAAUAUGUUGCCUUGACCAAAGCGGCGAAGGAAAUGAUUUGGUUGAAAUGAUUUCUUGCACAAUUCGGAGUGAAGCAAAACAAAGAUGUUAUGCAUUGUGAUAAUUAAAGUGCAAUUCAUCUUGCAAAGAAUGCGGCACAUCACUCCCAAACUAAGCAUCUUAAUGUUCGCUUUCACUUUAUUUAAAUGGCAUUAGAUCGUCGACACUUGGAUGUGGAGAAUAUCGAUACAAAGAAAAAUCUUGCGGAUAUGUUAACAAAAAUUGUUCCUACAGAAAAGUUCAUAUUUUGUAGGAAGUAUUCUAGAUUGAUCAAGACGUAGAUGGGGUGGUUGGAGAACAACGCAUUGUGAUGAAGCUUACUUGAUGGAUGAAGAUUACUUGUCUGAAUGAUAGAGAUUUGCCUUAAAGUGGGAGAUUUUUUUGCUAACUGCAUUGGGCUUAUUUGUUUUUUUGGUCUUGUUCUUUGGGCUAUAUAAUUUUGGUGGUUAAAUCUUCUUUGUCUAUGUUUUCUAACUAUGUAUUUGGGCCUCCUACUUGUAAGCUUUGGAUUAUGAUUCUUUUGAUCCAAAGGACUAUAUUUUAUAGCUUCUUGUCUUAGGGGCUAAAGUGGGGUAAUUAAAAUAUUAGAGAAUAUUAGAGAAGUAGAGAAUAAGAAAAGAAGUGGGGAAAAAAAAAGAGAAAAAUCUAAGAGCUUGGUUUAAUCAUAGUUUUAUAAGGAGGUGAGAUCUUUUUUGUAAGGUAUGAUAUAUACCAUUUGGGUAGAGCUAGAGAUUGUUAGAGCUCUUUUUGUACUUUGGAAUGAAGGUAAUAUUUCUCCCAUAUGUAUCUCUCUUGUAAUCUCCAAGUUUUAUAGUGGAAAUUUCUUUCACAUUGUUCUCCCGUAGAUGUAGACAUAGCGGAACUAUGUAAAUUCUUGUAUUCUUACAGUUUUCUUUAUUUUGUGAUUGCUCAUGUUGGGUUCUCCAUUGAAUGUGUAUAGGGUGUGUGUUGUGAAAUUGUCCACCGAGUAUUUGUGAAAUUGCCAUCAAUAUUUUUCACUCAUUUUACAACAGUUCUACUAAAGGGGGCAAAAUCAAAGAAUUUUAGGAAAUCAGGUAGAUAAAGCAAAAGAUUAUGUGAAGCAGACCUAUUAUUUAUCAUCCUAAAUGUCCCUCUUUUGCUAUAACCUGCUGGCUAUCUUCCGUUCAAGCUUCCUCAUUGUGGAAACCCUUCCUUUUCUGCUAGUUACAUAAACUACUUUGUUGUGUGUUGGCAAUUGGUUUCGUUAAGCUGCAUUCUUAUAUAUCAAUAUCCAAAUAAGUGAUAUCUAUUUCACCGAGAUUCCAAGCAAGGCAGCUUCGUAUAAUCUUGCCUCUUGGAGAAGUUAAUCAGGUGGUAGUUUGUGAUAUAUCAUCAGUCUUCCUGGACUGUUCAACCUAAUCAUUAUAAAUAGAUGUUUUCUUUCACCACCAACACUUGGAGAUUUCCUGCAAGUUUGCUAAAAUUUAUCUUUUUGGAGUUUUUGCAAUUAGUGCUUAUCAAUAUUUCCUGGUAAUUGAUUUGGUUUUAGAGCUAUUACUUCUUUCUUGGUUCGAAUUUUCUGUCUUCUUUCUUUGUACAGAUAUUCAUCGCUUUUCACCUAUUCAACUUCUAAAUUAUGUUUGAAAAAUUCCAUCAACUGUAGUUCCAAAAAGCAGUGCAUUCAGUUGCAUGUGUGGAUUUGGUUGUUUGGCUGCUCUGCAUAGGCUACACUGACAUAAGGUGUAGGUUCCUGCAUAACAAACACAUAACUAACCUGCCCACUGUCAUACCUUUCUUUUGGCAGGCAGUAGUAGGUUUUGCAUGAUAAGUAAUGUGAUUAUUUGUCUCAUCUUUUAUUUUCAUUUCAGAAGCACGAGGGUUAUCCAUCUGGAUCAAUGGUUGAUUAUGCAUGCGAUCAGGAUGGCUCCCCUAUAUUAGCAGUUAGCAGUCUAGCAGUUCAUUCAAAGGUUUGAUUGGCUACAUCACCCUCUCACACAUUUGAAGCCGAUGUUAUUAUAGUCAUAAGUCUAGAUUGAAAUAACUGAUGUAUAAUCUCUCAAUCCUUAUUUAACAUCCAAAAAUUUUAAGGCCAUGCAGCUAACUAUAUUAAUAUGUACAGAAUCUUUCAGGAAAUCCGAAAUGUUCCUUGCUUGUCGCCAAGGAUCCUGCAGAUAGGACAGAUAUAACAAUCACCAUAUAUGGAGAUGCUAUGCCUGUAAGCGCAUUACUCUCCCUGUGCCCCAUCUCUCUCUCUCUCUCUCUCUCUCUCUCUCUCUCUCUCUGCAUUUCACAUUUCAUUGUUCAUUCUGAUCCACCUACUAGUGUUUACCUCCUAGUAUGUCCUAUGAUAUCUUAUUAUUUAUCUUGUUAUUUGCUUUGCAUUGUAAAGUGCUAAAUAGCCUUUGGAGUUAUCAUCAUAUUGCUUCUAUUUUUGUCGACUCUACAAUAACAUAUUUUUGACACUACAGCUUAUGUGAGAAGUUUGAUUUCCCAGCCAGCAUGUUAUCUCAUCUUAUGCUAUCUAAAAGUAAGGCAUGAGUAGCUCAUUGCCUUAACAGUUAAACUUAAUGGCAGCAGUUUGUUGGGUUUCAUUCUUAAUGUUGUUCUACUUAUGCAGUUUGAUACUCUUGAGUUGACCAAUUUCUGCACAGAGAUUUUGACCUAUCUUAUUUGUAAACUAAUUCAAAAUUUUGAGUCCUACAUAUGCACUGUAGACUUGUUAUUCCUCAGUUAUGCCAUUGUCGUUCUGUUUUAUGACUUCAUGUGUAUUGAUUAAGCGUUCUAUUGCCUUCACUUAAGGUUUCAGAAGAUGAUAGAGAUGGCAUACGGACUGCAUACUUGAGGAGACAUCCUGAUGCAUUCUGGGUAACAUUUUGGUCACUUUUCCAAUUGUCUACUCACAAUUAUGUUGUAUUCCUCCAUGGUGUUAUCUGAUAUCUUAAAGCCUCUAAUCAUAGGUUGAUUUUGGUGACUUCCAUUUUGUUCAUAUCAAACCGAAAUUUGUGAGAUAUGUAUCUGGAGUUGCAACAGCUCUGCUUGGAUCAGGAGGUAUGCGGAUGAGCAGUUAUGUUGAAGAACUAGAAUUUAGAGAUAACAUAAAGAUAAUAUCUUCCACUAGUAAUUAUAAAAAUAUAAACACUGCCCUCUAUCAGCUUAAACUUUUAGAGUACAACGAUUGUUUUAUAAAAUUUAACAUGGUACCAGAGCAGGAGGUUUUCAGUUUGAGUCACACCAGGCUCCUAGCAUAAUUGAUUUCCUUCCAUUUAAUUUAAGUCCACAUCAUGAGUCUAUUAAAAAGCCUUGAUCUCAGACGUGAGAGAGAGUGUUAAAUAUAAAAAAUAUAAAAACAUCAUUCUCUAUCAGUUUAAGUUUUUGGAGUACAACAGUUGUUUCAUAUAAUUUAACAUACUACCAUUUACUUUUAUGAAAAAUGAUUGUUACUGCUGUUUCAUUUUGGCCUGAAAUGGCCUUUUGAGGCCUAAACAUGCUUCUUUGCUUUUGGGUGCACAAAAUACCUUGCAUAUUUGUGGUACAUAGAAACAAUUGUCGGUAAGUUUAAGAAGGUAUUAGAUGUUAGAAAGAAUAUAUAAUCAUCUGAUUUCAGCAGCUGACUUACUGGUUAUCGGUGAUAUUACCGUCACCAGAAUUUAGUGCAGAGGAGUAUAAGGCCGGGCAAGUGGAUCCUAUAUCUCAGUUUUCAAAUCCUAUUACGGUAUUCCAACCUUGUCUCUGUUACCUUAUUUUACCUUUUGAUUAUUUAUUUUUCCUGCACUUCAACUUGUCUUUUUGUAGUCCCACAUGAACAGGGAUCAUGCUGAAGAUACAAAGCUAAUAGUGCAACAUUCAACCUCAGUAAAGGUAUGCUGAUCUGAGAUUUGCUUGUAUCAAUGUGCCAUAAAAGGAAUUACAUUAUUGUAAAUUGAAUAAAAACUUCUGUUUAGACCUGUGAAGCAGUUGAGUUGCCUUGAAAGAUUUUUGAUGAGUUCCGUUACCAUGAAUCCCGUUCUUAUUUUUGCAUUUGGGUUUUGAUUCUCUCAAUACUUAUUGUUUAGGAUUUUGAGAUUGAGACUAUUAUAAAGAAUGGCUGACACUUUGUACCCAUUAUUGUUACAGAUAGACAUGCGACACCUUGGAUUUCCUUGGAAAACAGAAAUUAUGCUAUCAUUUAGUGUUUUAAGGAGCCUAAUAGAAUUUUAGCAACCGCAUCAUGUUGUGCUCAUAUAAAACCAGUUACAAUACAUUCUCAAUGGACUGAGUUAGUUCCUGCAACUAUAGUGUGCUUAGUUCCAUGGGAACGAUCUACUGUAAUCAUUGUUAUAAUGUUAGUUUAGACUCGUUUAAAUGUGAUUUUGACUAUGAAGCAGUCAUUUAUUUCCUGUAAAUAUUCAUCUCAUAUAAGGAAACACCUCUUUGUGUUUGUCAGGCUUUGGCGGAGUCUGUACUGUUCUAAUAGUUCAAUAUUUUUUAACUGUGAAUGUUUCAAAUACUAAAAUAGGAAAAUAUCUUCAGGUGGAUUCUGCUUACAUGCUGGAUGUGGAUAGUCUUGGUUUCAAUGUGAAGGUAGUAUUAUUGUUCCUCUAUCUAUUUCUGUUUCGGUAUUAUACUGUUGGUGGUGUUUCCAUGAAUAUUGAUAUCUUAUGGUGAACGCAUUGCAUUAAGUUAGGUCAUAUUAUUUUCUUAAUGUAGCAGUGAGAGAAAGAAUCCACAACCUAAGAUAUUGAAAGUUUGCUACUGUAGGUAUUGAAUGUUUUCUUUGCAACCUCAUCCAUCCUCAAAAUUAAUUCUGCAAGAAAGAAUGAUAAUGCUGAUAGCUUGUGUUUCUAGGCCUAUGAAUCAAAUAGGUUUGUGCAUCUUCAGUAGGUGUAUCCUUUGUUUCCAAGCAGCAUUUGUAGCAUAAUUCCUUUUGGUGUGACUAGGAAAAUUAAACAGGCGCUUUGUAUAUCAGAUUUACCUAGCUCUAAGUAUGUUUGAUUAGUUCUGAGCAUAGGUGCUGUCGGCACUUAGAGAAAUAAAAAAAAAACCCUCUGUAGGUUUGAUUCAACAACAUAAGUUACAUAACUAUGGUGUACCAUGUUAAUAACUUUAGCUGUCAUCAUAACAAAUUUCAACGCUAUUGAUCUCAUAUACAAACAAUCUGUUUGCUUUUUCAAUUGAACUACAAGUUCUCAUUCAUUUGAAUUCCACAGCUCAUUUUUGCUUUUCUAUGUUUAGGCUGUUUAUCAAGGAAACAGUAUGAAGCUCCGGAUCCCUUUCCCAAGGCCAGCACAAGACAGAAAGUAAGCCAUAGAAAUAUCUGCAUUAUGCUUUCAUAAAUGUUGUUUUUAGUAAGUUCUCUUCCGUUCUUUUCUUGUUGCUCAAAACUGGGGAUGGAAGUAGCUUCCGUAUCUCAACAUUGCGGUUGCCUUGUUUCUUAUGCAGGGAUGUCAAGACUCUUAUUGUUGAAAUGCUUCAAUCUGCGAGAGCCUCGAUUUCAACUACGGAAUAAAAACUUUGUAGAUCGCAGGUAAUGUUUCUGAUAAGUUCUUGAUUUCUCCUGGUUGAAAUAUUGCUUAGUACCUGUACUUUCAUCACUCCUCUUUAACAUGUAAAAGAAUCUUCAAGAGGAAUGCACUAGUUAAUGCUCCUAUAGUAUUAGCAUAUCUUACUAGCCUUGGUGAACUUACCGGUGUGACACUGGUUGGACUCUUGGAGAUGCAUAGAAGAUGAAAAGUAGCUUUCUACAUAUUACGAGGAACCUGCUUACUUUAAACACAUAAGCACCUGAUGGAUAGACCUUUUCUCUCGUAAAAUAUGAAAUAUGAAAUAAUAUUAUAGCAUGAACUUCGACAGAUUUUGUGCAAAUUGUUUCUUUCCCACUUGGGAUAUCUAAAAUGCACUUCCAAUCAACUGGUAUUACAGCCGAUCGACCUAUAAAAACUGUGUCUAGAACAAUGAAGUAAUACAAUUGUUGAAUAAAGGCCUCUAUAAUUUCUUCUUCUUUUUUUUUUUUUUCUUUUUUUUCCACUUUCCUGCAGAUGGAGAUGAAAGAGAGUUCAAUUUCGGCACCAACGCAGCGAACAGAAUGAGGAGUGCAUGAGAUACCAGUAAAAUAAUACACAAAAGGAAUAAAUUUGUAUUUCUUUAACCUUUGAAAGUUCACCGAGUUUCCUUACAUCUCUUGAAUGAAAAUGAAAGCAAAAUGGAUUGUAUUAAAAAUUUGUAAAUUGUUUACAAAUUGAAACUGUGUAAAGAAAAAUGGGUUGUGUUAAAUUUGUGAAAUGUUACAAAUUGAAACUAUGUAAACAAUAUGUGAUGUGAGGGCCAAAGUGUGAGACAGCUGUUAGGCCCCAGCCUUGCUAUUGUCCUGUAUAUCUUGAAAGCAAAUUGGUCUUUUCUGUGAUCCCCAUAUGUAGUGGUUGUGAUGUUAUUUCAGAGUGAGAAAGAGCUUGUUGGGCUUAUCUGGAUUUAUCUAUGUAUCAUUCCAAAAACUAUUUGUUCUCAAGUUCCCAGUAGAUAGCCCUAUCUCUUUGUUUUCUUUUUCUUUUUUCUCCUUUGGUUUUGUCCUCUCUGUUUUUUUAAUGUCAUACCAUAUGAGUGGUCCUUUUUUGGUUCUGAAAAAAAAUGGUUUGAUUGGAAAUAUUGUGUAAAAACUAAAUGAAAACUGGAGAGCAAACUUUUCUUUUUCUUCUUUUCAAUUUAAUGACAAACAAAUUGCAUUGGACAUAAUUUUUUAGUUUAUAAUCGAUUAUUGAACACCUUUGCAGGUGUACUUCAUUUGCAGAGGAUUGUCUUUUGGAAAGAGGAAUCUGAGUAUGUGGAAAGCAGAAGCACUUCAUAGCUGGAGAAUCAUGCAGCACUUGAUAAAAAGAAAAUGACCAACCCAUUAAAGGAUUUAAAAAUCACACUGUAUCCCACCUAUUUAAAAUCUUUAGUUUUACCAUCUAUUCUUUUAAUUUAUUUGAUUUGAAUUUUUUGAUGGCUCCGUAAGAAUUAGUACUAUUGUGCAGUAUAUCUGAACAUUUGUACACCACUCUUGUCGUUCUUUCUCCAACCACUCUAAUUCUUCGAUCUUCGCCACUCAAAAAAUUGCAAAAUUUUCUAUUUACAAAAUUAUCAGGAUGCAAAUCAAACUUCUAUAUGGUGUGAAAUCGAAACUUUUUGAGAAAUUAGCCAGGCAUUUUUGAAAAUUUUACCUUUUUUUUUCCACAAAAAAAGUGCAUCACUGGUUUUUUUUUACUUUAAAAUGGCUUCCCUAUAUUUUCUAUUAGAAGUGAGAAUCCAAUAUCUCUCGUAUUAAUAAACCACCAAACCUCCUUUUAUUAUUAUUUUAAAGGGAGAAUCUAUUCUUGGUAACAUUUAAAAAAUAAUACUUUAUUGCAACACAGCAAUGGGCCAAAAAAAACAAAAAAAAGCAGAGUAAUGUACUAUUAUACCGUUGGUGGCGUUAAAUUUUGAAAGGACCUUAUUGUGGGCGUACAGCAAAAAUUCUAUACCGAUAUAAUACACAUAAAAUUUAUUUUCUAAUUUUUAAAUUUAUUAAAAAAUUUGACUUAAAAAAUAGAUUUAUAUAAAAGGAAUAAUUUCAUAGAUGCCCUUCUAGAAACUAUUAAUUUCAUCAAUACCCUUCUAAAAUUGAUAAUAUCACAAAUACCCUCCAAUAGGUUAAAAAUUAUCAUAAAUGCCCUCUAUUAGUUUAGAUCCGUUAGGUCCCAUUUGAAACGGAGUUAAAUUUUCAAAAUACCAUUUUUACCCUUUAUCUCUUAUUAAUACUUAAUAAUAAAAAUACUAAUAGGUAUUUCAAGAUAAUUUUCUAAAUCUAAAUUUGAGUAUUUAAUAUAUACAUAUUAAAUUAAAUCAUUAAUAUAUAUUAAUUAUUAAAAAAUAUAUAAAAAUUAUAUUUUAUAUAUAGUAUGUUUUUAUCUAAUUUUGGUUUUGUUUUUAGUUUCGGAUUUCGGUUCAAGUUCAGUUUAAAUAUAGACCAAACGCAUAAUUGAAUUUACAUACGAUGGGAUUUUAUUUUUUGAUAUCUAUAACUGAAACUAUUCCUAUUCAGCUAUUGAUUAAGCUUACCUCAUUUUAAAUCGAUUCAGAUAAAAACGUAAUACUUUAAUAUCAUUUAUAUCCUAAUUAAGUAAUAAUAAUUUUGGAAAAUAAUUAUAGAUUUAUUUUUCCUAUUUAAGCAAAGUAAUCACAUAAAUAUAUCAUGAAUUAUUUCUGUCGAUUGAAACAAAAGAGAGUUUUAGUUCGAAAGCUAAAAUAUAUUAUGUUUCAAGUUUUUAAUGGCAUUUAAUGCAGAGUAAAUUAUCGAUAUAAUUUGAUUAAAAAAAAAUUUAAGUUCAAAAUAAAAUCAGAUAAUUUUAUAACAUUAUUUUUAUUUAAAUUUUUAUAUAUAUUAUUUAUUCAUAAAAAUAUAAUAUUGAGCGACUAGAUUUGGUGAAUUAUCAAAAAUUAAAUAAAAUUCUCAUUUUUCAUACACUGAAAAUGAAUAUGCUACUAAAAUAAAGUUGAGGGAGCAAUUUUCAAAUGGCAGAAGUUGAAGGGGACUCCAUACAUUUUUACUGUAAGAGAACUUAGCUGUAAAUAAGUCAUUUUAAAAUUAACCAUUCUUUAACCCUUUAAUACUAUGUAAAGCAAUAAUUAACAGUAAGGUAUUGGAUGAUACAUUUUUGUAUUUUCUAAGGGUAUAGGAUAUAUAUUAAUUUGUGCGGCAUCGAUGAUAUUUUAGACUUUGAGAGGGGUACAUGAAAUUGCCCUAUAUAAAAUAAAAAUAAUAUAUAUAAAUAUAAAAUAUAAAUAUAAGCAUAAUUUAUAUUUAAACAUAAAAUUAUAGUUUUUCAUUCAAAUUUUUAAUAAUUCGAAAAUAAUUCGCGAUUAUUUGGCUGAUAAAAAUUGCGAAUAAUUUUCUUUCUUUGAAAAAAAUUAAAAAACGUGCCAUUAAUUUGAAUUUUCAAUAAUUCGCGAAUAUUUCGCGAAUUAAACUAAUAAAGCUGUGAGUACACACAAAUUUAAUUUAUAAUUAAUUCAUUAAAUUCAGAUUUUAUUUUCUUCAUAUUAUCUUAUUAAAUUACCAUACUACCUUUCCUCCCUUGAGACUUAUAUAUUCCAAAUGAAUCCAAAAGCUGGCCCUCUACAUCAGUACACAAUUCACAGGUGGAAUUAUUGGGGUUUGAAUACAAAACAAAAUUCAUGUGGUAGCCAUGUGACACCCACAAUUAUAUAUAUGAUAUAUAAUAUAUAGAGAAGGAGAGUAGAGGAGAUGAGAGAGUAAGGACUCUAUGCAUCGUAAUACGGAGUUCUUCUGUGCUUCCAGGUCGUUUCGAUGUUUGCGAUUCGAAUGGUCAAUCGCUCUUUAAAUUGAUCAGAGUAUGGAAGUAGUACCUAUAUAAUUUUUAUUAUUUUUCGAUUCAAUUUUGCUUGGGAUGAAUGGAUCAAAAUCAAUCAAAUUUUAUAAUGGCCGAGUGAGCCGUUGGCAAGUUUAAUGGUGUAGAAAUAUCAAAUCACGUGAAUUUUAUUAGAAAAUUUUUAACUAUAUAAAACAGAUUCAAUAUUUUGAUUAAAUUUUAAGAUUGUCGAUAGUUUUACUUUUGUAGAUUUUUAUUUUCAGAAUCGCUUGAUUUGAGGCCCCUUCGUUUACAUAGGCAAAUGAUAUGCGUAAUAAACUACAAUUUGAUUUCUGGUAUUCAAUACUCUAGAAUAAGGUUUAAGCGGGCAGAUCGGACGUCUCGAGAAGUCGCAACAUGCGAAAACUGGAGGCUGGAAGAAGAAGGCUCCCAUGUUCGAUAGCAUAGUAGCUCACUAUAUAAUAUAUAUAUAAUAUAUAUAUAUAUAAUUAAUAUACUAUAUAUACAUUACUCUAAUGAGUGCUUCCUUAUCUUUUUUUAAAAAUUAAAUGAAAUAAAUGUUUUUCAAAAAAAAAAAAAAAAAAAGGUUGGUGGCCAUGCAAUUAAAAGUUGAUCCCAAAACAGUUAGGCCCAGGAACCCACUAAAAAAGAGGUUCAUAACUCAAAUGAAAAAGGUGAAGUAAAAAGUUAGAAAAAGAAAGAAAGAAAGAAAGAGGGCCAUGCAUCUAUCAAAUUCACAUGCAAUCCACCUUUUUUAGUCAGAUUCUACCAUCUAAAAACCACUAAAUUAGAUUUUGUACAGAAUCUCUUCUUUUUUUAAGAUUUACUGUGGAUAGUAAAAUCUAAAGCCCACACCUUUUUCUACCAUGCUCAUAGAUACUGGAAUCUCAAACACACAAAAUCAAAUAAACAAUAAUACUCACAUGUGGAAUGCAACAAAGGAGAAAAAGGACAAAGCAACACAACAGCUUAAUGGUGUACAUGAGUGAAAAUGAUGGACCCCACAGUAGGCCUGUUUCUUUCUCUUAAGAAACUUGACCAUCCUCAUCCCCAAAGAGCUUACAUAUGGAGAGAGAGCAAGUACCAAAAGAAACAUUAAAAAGAAAAAGGAAAAAAAAAAAAAAAAAAAGGACUACAACAAACCCAAAAUUCUCCAAGGAAGAGAACAAUUUCACAUGCCCAUGCCACAUACAACUACUUGCCUAGGAGUGAUUAGUAAAAAUGAAAGAAGAGAAGGGGAAAAAAAGAAAGGGAGGGGUUGCACUAUAUUGAAUGGUACAAUACAAGAGAGUAGGGCAAAUUUUCUUUUUUUUUUUUUAUUUUCUGAUUAUGGACAAUUGGGGUUUUGACCAGGACCACCAUAGUAGAAGUAGCUGCCCCAAUCACCAUUGUUGCCAUUUUGAACAUCAUAGCAGUUGGAUUGCUCAGUGAAGGUGCCAACACCUUUGGGUGAUCUCAGGUUGUUGGAUGCAUCCACUAUCUGAAUGUUUCUGAAGUAGCUCGACUUGCCGAAGCCUUCCUCAGGGAAGUGGCCACUGCCCAUCUGGGUCGAGGUGUGCUCGCCGUCCGGUUCCGAGUUCACCACCUCGCCGCCCCACUCUAUCAUGGAGGCACUGUCUGCCAAGUAGGAGAACAAGAAAGAAGGCCAGUAGCCCAGCACAUAGUCAUUCCCAAAUUGCAUCCACCAGUUCCCUUCUUUUGGAUCCUGAUUUAAAAAAAAUAAUAAUAAUAAUAAUGAAGACAAGAAAACAAACUUAUUGUUACAUCCUUCGGGUUUCCGAGAAGUUUCUAAUGCUGGUAAAGUUCAAAUACUACUUUGGUGUUUUUCACGAUUUCACUUCACUAUACUGCGGUUUCAUCCCCGAGAUUAUUACAUUAUGCCGCAACAAGAAUCUCCCGCUAACGGUAGGUUUGAAAUGGCAUGAACAAAUCAUUGUUCUACGUUUUGUCCAUAUGUAUCUUGAGUUGAUCUAUAACUCCACAUGCUAAUUUUUAUAGACUUUUUACGGGAGGGUAACUAUAAGUGGAACGAGUAAAACCACAGGAUAGUGAAGUAUAAGCGCGAGAAACCAAAAGCUUACUUUAACUUCAGGGACAUAAACACGCAAAAGAUGCGUAUAUCUAUCGACCGAUAAUAUGCAUGCACAAAAGUUGAAUGAAUAAAUUACACUUUUGUGUGAGUUGAUGUGCAUGAGAAAGAACCAAGGAACAGGUGGCAGAGAUUCUCUGCUAAUUUUACUGCAUUUGUUUAUGUAACUUGCAUGCAUGUGAGGUGAGGGUUGAGUUCUUUUUUUCUUUUUUUUUUUUACCUUCCAGACCAAAAUACUGAUAUCAUACUGGGGACCACCAUAGCCAGAGAUGGGGUAGAUGCUGGCACCCAUUGCAAUCUCACUGUUAAUUUGGAUGAAUCCAGAACACAGUAAGUUGUAGCACCCUGUUGCUUGAUAUGCAUCACUCUACAAUUCACCACAACAAGCAACAUUAAGAAGCCCAUUUUUUGAUAUCCAAAGCUUUUUUUUAAAAAAGAAAAAAAAAAAAAAGAAAAAUCUAGUAGGAACACCAACAACUACAGUAUCUCAUCAUCAACACUCAAACACACAAGCAUAGUUCAAUCAAUUAGUAGUAGGGGGAAUAGGAUGGGAUUUAACUUACAGUCCAAUAAGUGAAUAGCCUUGUGUUGUUAUCCCCAUAGAGAUCUGGGCUAACCUGAUGAUCACAAAAAUCUCAUCAGCACAUUGCCUGCCUGACAUAAUAAAUGACAAGAACUGAACCUCACAAUGUAUUUAGUCAAAAAGGAUUGAACAAAGCAAACAAGAACAAAUAAAUUCACCUGCCACCCUGCUUCAAUACUAUUGAGGUCCUCUCCAAAUGAACCACCUAAGAUCCAAAGCUGAGAGAGGCUAAACUCAUUUGGUUGCUGUAUCUUUGGUUCCCACACAUUUAUAGUUGCUUUUGCCCCAUAAUACUUAUCCCCCUCCACAUAUGCAAUUGCAUGCUGCUCUCCCCACAAUUACAACUUUUAGUGAGAGCAAAAUGGGCUAAAAAUGAGACCUUUGAUGCAAGAAAGAUAUCCAUAUAUAUAUGUAUAUAUAUGUACCUGAUGGCCACUCUCAUUGAGGAGGUCAGGGUCAACAGAGAGAGGGUUUGGGAAGCUCUUGUGCUUCUUCCUCCCAUACUUCUUGACAGAGCUUGCUCUGAGCACAUCAUCCUUCUGGGUCCUCCUGAUGGGGAUGGUGUUCUCUGGGCACCUCCCAUUCUGGUGCCACAUCUGCAGCACUGGCCUGCUCUUCUCACCUGCUGAGACCUUGCUCUCAGCAUAGAGCCCCUCUGGGUGGAAGCUUGGCCUCAUCUGCAGCAAAUUUUGAAGCAAUGGUGGGUUCAAAAUGCUAAAGAGAAUGGAGAGAGAGAGAGAGAGAGAGAGAGAGAGAGAGAGAGGAACCUGGAUGGUAUGGUUCUGAAGGAAAGGGUGAUCAAAGGCUGGUUGAUGAGAGACAUGCACACAAUCUAUGAUAUCUCCAUCUGGGCUCUGUUUUUUUUUUUCAAAAUUUUUUUUUUGGUUAAAAAAGAAAGAGAGAGAAAAGAUUAGAGAGGCAAUUAGAGGAUGUUAGAAGUGAAAAUGACCAAAUAAUUUCAAGAAUGAGAUUAGAUUGGGACAUUUGAGGAGAUGGACUACAAGAAUUUAUUUUUUUUUCAUGGGAAGUAGAAGAACAGAGAAAUGCUACAAUGGUGAUUGAUGCUUCAAACUGCAAAUUUUGUCAAAAAAGGAAUCAAAUUAAACAAGAACAACUUUUACAAAAUAAAAGCAAACAACAUUACCAAAAGAAAAAAAAAAAAAAGCCAAUUUUUUCUGGGGGGGUUUGAAAGUGACAUUUAUAAAUGAAAAAAAGGGGUGUGCAGAUCAUAGAACACAAAAUGCUGUACUUUUAAAAAUGAGAAAAAAAAGGGGGGAAAUAUACCACAAAUUAGUAGAAAAUAGGGAAAAAGGUAACAUCUUUAUCACAAAGUCUUUUUUUCAAUUAAAGUUUUUUUUUAAAAAAACCUCUUUUUUCACAGCAUGAACAAAUGCUCAAAAGAAGCUACCAAAAAUCCUUUAAAAAACGUACUCAAAACAAAACAACACUUUUUAAAUCAAAAUAAACUUGAAAAAAAAAAAACCAAAAACCCAACAAUUAUUCCCCUCCCCCAAAAAAAAUUUAAAAAAGAGAGAGAGAGAGAGAGAAAACAAAAAAAAAAGGAUUCAAACCUGAAUGCUCUUUACGGCGGGUUUGUUGAGGCGCCUGAGGUGGCGAUGGACCUCCAAACGUUGCCUCGUCGUUCCCAACCUCGCCUCGGCGCGCGAUAAGAGGAUUAGGGCAAGGAAAAGCCCUAACAAGCCAUGGCUCACGCUAACGUGCGCCGUCGCCAUGGCGCCCCCCAACCCCCCCUCCCCGCUUCACCCCCUCCCUCUUCUUCGAAAUCCCUCGAAACCCAACUAUUUUCCCCUCAAAAAAAAAAAAAAACCGAGAAAAACCCCUCUUUUCCCCCCUCCGCCCCCCUCGAAAAGCGACCGUUGGGGUGUAGAAUGGGAACAGAAUGUGUAGAGAGAGAGAGAGCACUUCGCCGUUGCGGGUUUUUUUUUUUUUUUUUUUUUUUUUUUUUNUUUUUUUUUUUUUUUUUUUUUUUUUUCUCUCCACUGUUUUCGAGCGAGGUGGUGGAGUUAAUGCUUUAGUGGGGGGAGGGAAAGGCGAAGGGGGAAGGGGGUGGGUGAAAUGACCAAAAUGCCCCUGGUGGGGGGAAGCUUGGAAGGGCUCUGACGCGAGUGGUGACUCGUGCCGGGGCCACACGUGAGUAGUGGUGGUGGGGAGGGUGACGCUCGGCACGUGUGCGGAAGCAUUGGAUUCGAAAAUGGCAAAAUUGCACACUUGUCCCUCCACUUUUACUUCCUAGUCAGCAUAUCCCGUAGCAACUAGCAAAUAAUACUUGUGUGCCACAUGAAAAGUGUAAUUUAUUAGAUAUUAGAAUUUUUCUUUACCUGAUUAUUGCAAAUAAAUAGUUUAAUAUUUACUCCUUGAGAGGUUUUCGCAUUCAAGAUUGGCAGCAUUUUAUAUUUUAUUUACGAGAUGAUUUUCUCUUAUUCCUGAAAAAUAGUUUUACAGUAGAAUAUAAUAUUUUGUUCUAAAUUUUUAAUGAGCUUUUUCACCUUUAUUAGAGUUUACAAAAAUAGUUAGAAAAUAACUAUUUUUUGUGCAACAAAGGAUGGUUUUCAUGGGCUUUUACCUUAUGUUUUAUUUAGGUUUUCAAAUUUUUAGUUUUUAUAAUUAACUUUCUUAUCUCUAACAUUUAUUUAAAUUUUUUCUACCGUUAAAACCUUCAUUAAUUUGAGUUGAAAUUGCCAAGUCCGUGCUAAAAUGAAGUUUAUCAUAUCAGCAUUAAAUUUUACCGUGCAGUAAUCUUUCAUAUCAUAUAUAUAUAUAUAUAUAGAGUGAGGCUACUAUACUAUCGGAAGCACGGAGCCUUCCGUGCUUCCAGCUCAUUUUCGAUGUUGCGACUUUUGAAUCGUCGAUCGGCUCCGUUAAACUUGAUCUAAAGUAUUUGAAGUACCUAGAAAAUAAAUUUUAUGAUUUUACGAUAUCAUUUGCCUAGUGAACGAAGGGGCUCAAAAUCAACGGCUGAAUAUAUAUAUAUAUAUAUAUAUAUAUAUAUAUAUAUAUAUAGUUCGGCUAUGGUACUUGUAAAAGCACAAACAUUUGGUACUUGUAAGUUUUUUAAUGAUAGCAUAUAUAGAAUUGAGCUAGAAUACUAUCGAUAGCAAACGGGCUCCGUUGCCACCCAUUUGUUUUCGAUGAUGGAGCCUCCAAAUCGACGAUCGGCGCCGUUAAACAUGAUCUAUAUCACUUGAAGUGUUUAGAAAUCAAAUUUUAUACAUUUUUGAUAUUAUUCUCUUAUCCAUCAAGUGGACACAAAAAUGAACGGCUAAAAAUGAAUAUUCUUUAAAAAAUGAUGAUAGGAGUCUUGUAAUCAAGAUCAAGAGUAUAGAUCUUGUUUUAAAUAGUUUAAAGAAUUUUCUAACAAAAAUUCAAUUGAUUUGGAUAUUUUUACGCCAUUAAAUGAGAAAACGCCUCAUAUCGACCAUUAAAAUUACAAAUUUUGAAACUCUUUGAUCGUUAGGUAAAUAAUGUCGAAAAGAUUUGAAAUUUAAUUUCUAAACACUUUAAGUAGUAUAAAUCAUGUUCAACAGUGCCGAUCGUCGAUUUGGAGACUCUAUCAUCGAAAACAAAUGGGUGGCAACGGAGGCUGUUUGCUAUCGAUAGUAUACUAGCUCAACUCUAUAUAUAUAUAUAUAUAUAUAUAUAGAGAGAGAGAGAGAGAGAGAGAGAGAGAGUUGGACUGGACUGCUAUUAGUAGCAAAAUCUCAUUGUUGUUACCAGUGUUUUUGCCUUUGGAUCAACUCUUUUCAUUAUUUCUAAAUAUUGGAUUAAAUACUAUAACCCAGUGGGGACCACUCAACCCUAGGGGGGCCACUCAACUCUAACCGACUAAUAUCAUCCUGAUCCUACAAUUUUUCAUCCAAGGAUUAAAAAUUUGAUAGCAAAAAGAACGUUUUACUAUUAAUAGUAUUCCAGCCUAAUUCUAUAUAUAUAUAUAUAUAGAGAGAGAGAGAGAGAGAGAGAGAGUUGGACUGGGCUACUAUUAGUAGCAAAAUUCUAUUGUUGUUACCAGUUUUUUAGCCUUUGAAUCAACUUUUUUCAUCAUUUCUAACCAUUGGAUUAAAUACUAUAACCCAGUGGGGACCACUCAACCCUAGGGGGACCACUCAACUCUAACUGACUAAUAACUCUACAAUUUUUCAUCCAAGAGUUAAAAACUUGAUAGCAAAAAGAGCAUUUUACUACCAAUAGUAUUCCAGCCUAAUUCUAUAUAUAUAUAUAUAUAUAUAUAUAUANUAUAUAUAUAUAUAUAUAUAUAUAUAUAUAUAUAUAUAUAUAUAUAUAUAUAUAUAUAUAUAUAUAUGAAUGCAAACGGGGCGGGAGGGUUCCCUCGCCUCCCGCUUUAUUUUUUGUUGGGGUGGGGUGGAUUAGAAGCGGAUUAUUUUUUAUUUUAUUUUUGACUCCCACUUUCGCCUCAUUUGGGGCGAUCGAACGGAAGUAAAUUUUUGGCGAAUUUUUUAUGCAUCGGGGCGGAUUUAAGAAAGAAAAGGGUCUCCUGCCUCCCGCUCUAUUUACUUAGCGGAUCGAGACAGAAUCAGAGCGUGUUAUUUUUUUUGUUUCCACUUACCGUCUCAUUUGAGGCAGAUCGGAGUGGGAGCUCUACCAACACGGAUACAUUUGCAUUCCUAUAUGUAUAACUAAAAUAAAUAAUAAUAGUUAAUUAUUUUAUUAAAAUAAUUUAAAAAUUAAAAUAAAAAAUUGAAAUAAGUUGGCAACCAGGUGUAAGUAACAAACACAAAUAUUGUGUUUCCAAGAACUUAAUAUCAAAUAUUCUAGUGGUUAAUUUAGUGACUUGUAUAUGGUUAGAUUUGUCUACAAAUCUACAUAUAUAUGAUUAUGAUUAAAGUGUAAGUGGCUCAAUUUUAUUGUGAAGUUCAAGGCCAUCAAGAGAUUCAAAGACCAAAUCAUCCUCGAAUAAAACACUAAAAAUAGUGAUAGGACACAUUGGCCUAAUCAAUCAAAAAUUUGAUCCAUUUGAUUGGUUAUUGGUCAACAUUAGUUAUUAUUUUUAAUUUCAAUUUUAAAAUUUUUUACAAUUUUGUAGAUUUGCAUCAUGUCCAAUGGAUUUCUCCAUUAAACUUCUCUUACAAAAAACACUUUUUUUUUUUUGAAAUAGUGUUACUAAUAGAGUUAAUUUUACUGUAAAUUCAAAAUUAAUUAAAUGUGAUCAUUAUUUAAAUUUAGAGUCUGUUUGGUUCGACGUAAGACUAUGAAAAAUAAUGGGUUUUCUGAGAAAUUUUUUUUUACCCUCUUUAAUGUUUAAUUUGUAGAAAAAAAAAGUAAUUUUCCAACGAUACUUGUUUGGUUGAAAGAAAAAAUUUAAAUAAAAAUAAUUUUAUAUAUUUUUCUAUUAUAUAUUAUGUAUUAUUUAUAUAAAUAAUUACUAUAUUAUAUAUAUUAUAAUUAAUAUUUAUAUAUAUUAUUAUUAUCAUCAUUAUCAUCAUCAUCUUUAAGGUCUAUCAUUUUUAUAGAGGUUGAAUCCAUAGUAAGAAAAAGAAUUUUUGCAGAAAUUAUCAAAAUCAAAUAGUUGGCAAUAAUUAUAAUGAGUGAGGCUACUAUUCUAUCGGAAGCACGAAGCCUUCCGUGCUUCCAGCUCGUUUUCGAUGUUGCGACUUUCGAAUUAUCGAUCGGCUCCGUUAAACUUGAUCUAGAGUAUUUGAAGUACUUAGAAAAUAAAUUUUAUGAUUUUACGAUAUCAUUUGCCUACUGAACGAAGGGCUCAAAAUCAACGGCUGAAAAUAAAAAUCUUACAAAAUGUAAUAAUAUGAUAUUAAAAUUUUAAAUCAAAGAUAUUGAUCUUGUUUUAUAUAGUAUAAAGAAUUUUCUAUCAAAAUUUCACGUGAUUUGGAUAUUUCUAUACCGUUAAACUUGCAAACGGCUCACUACGGCCAUUGAAAUUUGUUGAUUUUGAGCUCAUUCGAUCACUAGGCAAAUGAUAUCGAAAAAUAAUAAAAUUUAUUUUCUAGGUACUCCAAAUACUCUAGAUCAAGUUUAACGAAGCUGAUCGAUCGAUUCCAAUAAGUCGCAACAUAGAAAAUGAGGUUAAGCACGAAGGCUCGCCGUGCUUCCGAUACGGUAUAGUAGGGCCUCAGCUCUAAAUUAUUAAUGUAUACUAUUAUCAUAAACUAAAUUAAUAAGUAUAUAUAUAUAUUAUAUAUUAAUAUAUAUUAUAUAGAGUCCGGCUGCUAUGCUAUCGAUAGCACCAAGUAGUUGGUGCUAUCAAGUUUUCUGCCGUUAGAUUAACCCCUUUGAUUAUUUUUACCCGUUAGAUUAUACUAUUCAACCAACCACCCACUCAACCCUAGGGGGCCCACAUCAUCCUAACCGCACAUCACUUAAUCCAAUGGCUAAAAACUUGGUAGCACCAAUGACUUGGUGCUAUUAAUAGCAUAGUAGCCUAGUUCUAUAUAUAUAUAUAUAUAUACAUAUAACAAAAUAUAUAAUAAUUUAUAUUUAUAACAUAAUAUAUAAUGAGUUGAGCUAGAAUACUAUCGGUAGCAAACGGACUCCGUUGCCACCCAUUUGUUAUUAAUGAUGGAGCCUCCAAAUCGAUAAUCCGCACCGUUGAAUAUGAUCUAUAUCACUUGAAGUAUCUAGAAAUCAAAUUUUAUGCUUUUCUGAUAUUGUUCUCUUGUUCAUCAAGUGGGCGUAGAAAUGAACGGCUGAAAAUGAAUAUCCUCUAAAAGGUGAUGAUAGGAAUUUUGUAAUUAAGAUCGAGAGUAUAGAUCUUAUUCUAAAUAGUUUAAAGAAUUUUCUAACCAAAAUUCAAUUGAUUUGGAUAGCUUUACACCGUUAAACAAGAAAACGUCUCAUAUCUACCAUUAAAAUUACAAAUUUUGAAACCCUUCGAUCAAUAGGUCAAUAAUGUCGAAAAGAUUUGAAAUUUGGUUUCUAGAUACUUCAAGUGAUAUAGAUUAUGUUCAACGGUGUCGAUUGUCAAUUUAAAGGCUCCAUCAUCGAAAACAAAUGGGUGGCAACGGAGCCGGUUUGCUACCGAUAGCAUUCCAGCUCAACUCAAAAUAUAAUAACACAUAUAUAAUAUAUAAAUAAAUAUUUAUAAAUAAAAUAUUAUAUAAUAGCAUAUUAGUACAACGAGACAGAGAGGGUAAUUGAGAGAGUUUUCAGUUUUCGCCGAAAAAUAAUAAAAAAAUAAAAAUAUUAUUAUUUUUAAAUUCGUUAAAUUAUUUUUACAGAGAAAUUAUUUUACAUAGAACUAAACAAGCAAAAAGUAUUUUUCAUACGAAAGCAAUUUUUCAGUUCGUUUUUACGUCAAACCAAACACCUCCUUAACUAAAUGCUAAUAAAUCUGAUCGAUUAAUGCCACUUUAUUUGUGAAAAUAGGGCCUCAGAGCCGGCCAGCUAAACUUUGUCCAAUUGCCAAUUCACAAUUUAAACUUUAAUUUUAUUAACUUGGCUAGAUAUCAUUAGUCCUAUGAUCACGCGUGAGUUAAUUUUGAGUAAAAAUGAUCAUCUUAUUAAUUCAUGUGUUUUAGCUACAUGGUUAAUUUUUAGGAAUAAUUGCCUAUGAACCCUUCAAAAUUUCGAAAAUAUCUUAUUUAUUUUUACUUUUUUUCUUUCCAAUAUAUAUCCCUUAUAUGUUUCGCCGUUAUUUCAAAACACCCCUGUAAUUACCACCCGUUAAGUUAACUUGAAUUAAACGUGAGCUAAACAUUUAUCAGAGUUUAAAAAAUAUCAAAAUGUCUAUUUUGCUUUUAACUUAAGGGCAAAUAAGAAAUAUUGGUGUUGGUAGAAGGACAUAUUUAAAAAGACUAAAAAUCAAAACAUUUUUUGUGCUCCUACGAAUAAGAAAAAUAGGUGAUGGUAAAAAGUAUAUUUGAAAGGGUAAAAUAGUAAUUUUAUAGAGAUAAUAGUUAUCGCUAACCGUUCAUUAAAAUAAUUUAACUCUAGUUAAAAUAAGUGGGAACGUAAAAAGAGUAUUUCCAAUAUAGCAUUCUAAAAAGGGUAAAUCAGAAAGUCGAAAACUUUUCAGGUUGGAAUGUAAAAAAGAGUAUUUUCAAUAUUAGCCUUCUAAAAAGAGUAAAUCAGAAAGUCGAAAACUGGAAUAUAUAAGCAAUUGUCUCUAUUUUUUUUUUUGAGAGAAAAAUAGCAUGCUACCGGUUUUGUUUAUUUUAUUUAGAAAUAAACUUAGCUGAAAAUGUAAAUCAACUAGGAUUCGAACUUGGGUCUCGAAUACCAACCACCAAACUCUUUUGCUACUUGUGCUAGGGACGGUCGGUAAUUACCCCUAAUAUUUAAAGAGUAAUGCUUCUAUACUUUUUUUUAUUUGGUUACCGUUCAUUCACGCGUAUUCAACGACUCAGAUUUAGUUUUUUAAAAAUUGUAACCUGCAAUAGCAGGUUACUUUGGAAGAGGUACCGGUUACUAGGUACCUCAAAAAAGAAUAUUUUUGUCUUUUAAUACAUGGGCAAUUUAGUCAUUUUACAUCUACUAUAUUUUCAAAAUUUUUAUUUUUUCUUUGUUUCCUUUUUCUCUCUUUAUCUUUCCUUUCAUAAUUUGGCAUUUCGAAAAAUUUCAAAUGAUUUGACAAUAUAUCAUUAAAUUUAAACUUUAAAUAGUAAUAUGAAAUUCCUCUAAUUUAAAUUUCAUAUAAAUACUUUGAAAUAUGGUAAACAGAAAUAAUUGUUUGAAUUCUAGUCUUUUGGUUUAGGUUUGGUUUUGGGUUUCGAAAAAUUGGUCAGUUUUGAAUUUGGAUAUGGAUUUUUGAAAUACGUCGAGCUCGAAAAUAAGUUUUGUGAUUGUUAGUCAGAUUCGAAUUCAAGUUCCUAACUAUUUUUUUUUCUCACCAAUAAUUCUAAUCUUAUUAAUUUAUAUGUUUAAAAUUAUAUUUAAAAUAUUUAUUAGCUCUAACAGUUAAAUUAUCAUUUUGAUUAAAAUAUUUAUUAUCUUUACCGGUUCCAAAUUGUUCUUAAUGUUAUUCGGUUCAAUAGGUAAAAUCAGAUUCUUGAUAGAAUAGGUCAAAAUCUGAUCAGCCAAAUCAAUCGGUUCAAUCUAGUUUUUAAAUCAUUGAAUUUAAAAUUUAAAUAGUAAUAUGAAUUUCCUCUAGAGAAAUCUAGUUGUAGAAAUCUUUACUCUCUAAGUUUUUUAUGCAUUACGUUUUAAACUGGUGCGAAUAAACUGUAUUUUAAAUCUUGGUAGAAAUUGUCACGCCCCGGAUGUCUCGUUCCCCGGGCACGCCGACAAAUCCGCCGUAUACAAAAGAAUUUUUUCUGUAUACGAAGCGACAGCUGUACCUGUAAGUCAAACACUACUACGAACAGUAGUAGAGAGCUGCUAGAGAAAACAGAAGCUAAACAAACUGAGUUUCAUAUACAUAGUUUGAAUCCAAAAUACAGAGUUACUCGCACUGGCGAGUUAAGUCUACUAUGUACAUAAACUCGAAACAAAAUAUCUACCUGCAGUAGGGGUGCCUCUAGUUCUGCUCGUCGGGUAGGGCUCUAACUCGCGACGCCCUUGCCUCGAUCUGCCUCGGAAGGUGCAGCAGCCGAAACCUAUGGCUCUGCAAAACAUGGGUAACAAAUAGGGCGUGAGAACUACUGUAAAAACAAGUAGUCCUCAGUGGGUGCCGCCCAAAACAACAUCGGUCCACUCACUAAGUCUACAGAAGGGAGCAAGAAUAGUAGGAAAAUGCAGGAAAUAAACUCAACUGCUACAAAUCACUACACUAUCAUGCUCUACACUAAUCAACUGUAGGAAAUGUCAAAUCUGACCCAAUCCAAUCGGGACUGUAAACAUACCUGUCCCGGGGACUGUGAAUACACCCGUCCCUGCCCAGUGUGACUAUCCAGCUACCUCCACACUAACUGGUCCGUGGAGAGCAAGUCCAACCGGCAUGAGCGACACCAAUGCGAAAGCACAAAGCCCGUCUCCGGAGUGGCACUCGUGGGCGCUACCCAACCGAGUAUGCAGCGUAUCUCUGUCGAGCUCAAUCAGGCUCUGUCAAGCCAAAGUCCAAGUAACCGACUCAAACUGGUCUAACAACGAAUAGGUAACGUGCCCUCGGCACAAUCUGACGCCAACACAGGCGAUACGGGUCCACCGUCAAUCCCGACGGCACCCAACGGUCCGGAACAGCCUAAACGCUAUUCUAAAAAUAUACUCGGCAUACCAGCACGAGUGUAACAGAAAACUACACUACCUGGAAUACUCACUAUGACGAUACUGCAACAGUAUAAAAUAAUACAACGGCCCCUAGGGCUAAAUCAGAUAGUUAAAUAUAUGACGAUCAUAAUCGUGAGUUUUCUCAUAAGUCUUAUCCAAGUCCAACAUGUAGAAUUUAUCCAUAAUUAAAACCAUGCUCUACAUUCAUCUUUGCUAGCAAAAUGUGAAGCAUCUAUGAAUUAGAGCUAAAGUACAAGUACGAAAAACCCGAAAUAUACAUGUCGACCCACGAGACUAAAGGAGUAGAAAUCCGAUGAAAACCCACCUCGAUCGCUAAACCCCGGCAGGGAGGAGGUCACCAAAAAUCUCCAAAUCCACUGGAAAAAAAACCAAGGUGUCCAGCUCAAGUUCGAAAUCGCCCUGCACACAUCGCAACGAAGAACUCCAACUCAAAUUCUGUCCGAAACACAGCAGCAGAGGAGAACAUAAUUUCGACCUAGCUAACCUUCACCAAAUCCAGAAACUAAGGGUUUCGUGGAUUCCUCUCGAAGUCCUGAAUCCAACGAACCAAGUCCCGUCGAAAUCCGACGCUCCUACACCGAGUACGAGCCGAAGCGCCAACGGUCGACGCUGGAAAUCUGCAGGGACAGCACCUAGCUCGAAUUUGAAGAAGCUUGGAAAUAAAGAAGCAAUUUGACGGCACACCCACCUCGACAGCGACCCUAGUAUCUGUGCGACGUCGAGGACGGCGAUAACACACCCUCGAUCGGCCUCCUCGCGAUGCUACGGCGACAAACGUAGGCUCGAACGGCUCGGCGACGCGACAUCGACGGCGAAUCCGAGCUUCGCGGCUACCUCUACGCGGCUCCUCCGCUUCGGCUCUCCACUCCACACGAAAGAGAGAAAGAAAAAUAUAAUUAGAGAGGUGUAGGCUGCAUCUCUCAAUUAAUUGAAUGGAUAACCAUGCAUGGGGGCACGUGGCAUCCACACACACACACAUAUAUAUAUAAAGGAUACUACAUCCUCCCCCACUACAACAAGUUUCGUUCUCGAAACUAAAACGUACCUCAGCUCAGGCAUCAAACAGAUAGGGAUAGGCCUCCCUCAUCACCAUCUCAGGCUCCCAAGUCGCCUCCCGCUCCUCGUGAUUGCUCCACUGCACUUUCACAUACGGGAUGACUCGGUUGCGCAAUUCUUUCGUCUCCCGAGCAAGAAUCUGCAACGGUCGCUCUUCGUAUCUCAGAUCCUCGCCAAUCUCUAGUGGAGUGAAGUCGAUUACGUGAGAAUGAUCGAAAACGUAUCUCCUAAAUGCUGAGACUUGAAAAACAUCGUGUAUGCCAGCAAGUCGCGGGGGUAGAGCUAUCCUGUAUGCAAUCGGUCCGAUACGCUCCAAUACCUCGAAAGGGCCAACAAACCGUGGACUAAGCUUUCCACGUACUCCAAAUCGACGUAUCCCUCUGGAUGGCGAGACUUUGAGGAAAACAUGAUCUCCAACCUGAAACUCCAAAUCUCGUCUCCUGGUAUCGGCGUAGCUCCUCUGGCGGCUCUGAGCUGUCAAAAGGUGUCGUCGAACGAUUCUCACCUUUUCCUCAGCCUCAAGUAGAAUCUCUGGUCCAAGUGUCCUCCUCUCACCCACAUCACUCCAAAAUAGAGGGGAACGACAUCUACGUCCAUACAACGCCUCAAACGGAGCCAUCUGGAUGCUCGUUUGAUAGCUCUAGAGUCUGUAUGGUCCGCUCUGACUGACCAUCUGUCUGUGGGUGGAACGCCGUACUAAAAUGUAGCUGAGUGCCCAAGGCUGUCUGAAGACUCCUCCAAAAUUAGGAUACAAACCUCAGGUCUCUGUCUGACACAAUCGACACUGGCACGCCGUGCAGCCUGACGAUCUCAUCCAAGUAUAGCUGCGCGAGUCUCUCUCUGGACCAGGUAGUCUGAACCGGUAGGAAGUGAGCAGACUUGGUCAGUCUGUCCACUAUCACCCAAAUCGCGUCGUAGCCACCCUGCGCUCUAGGCAAUCCAACGACGAAGUCCAUCGUGAUGUACUCCCACUUCCACUCUGGCACUGGCAGACUCUGAAGCUUGCCAGUAGGUACCUGAUGCUCGACCUUUACCUGUUGGCAAGUCAAACACUGAGCCACAUAUCUGCCAAUUUUCCUCUUCAUUCCAUGCCACCAGAACUGUGCCUUUAGAUCCUUAUACAUCUUGGUUCCCCCAGGGUGAACCGUAUAAGGUGAACAAUGAGCCUCUCUCAGAAUGUCUGCUCGAAUCUCUGAAUCCACAGGCACACAUAGUCGGUCCCUGUACCGUAGUACUCCCGAACUGUCCACAGCAAAACCCUCAGCCUGCCCCUGAUCUAGCUGCUCUUGAAUCCUCGACAAGUAGGGAUCUCCACUUUAUUUCUCUCGGAUCCUAUCCAACAGAGUGGGCUGCACAACCAAAGACAACAGUCUCGCAGUAGAUCCAGGGGGUACUACCUCAAGUCCCAGUCGCUGUAGCUCCUCGAAUAAGGGUCUAUGCUCAGUGAUCAUCAAACUCAGGCUCUGCACUGACUUCCUGCUCAACGCAUCUGCCACCACAUUCGCCCUGCCGGGAUAAUACUGAAUACUAAUGUCAUAGUCCUUCAGUAACUCCAACCACCGGCGCUGCCUCAGGUUCAACUCUCUCUGGGUGAACAGAUACUUGAGACUUUUAUGAUCAGUGAAAACCUCGCAGUGCUCGCCGUACAAGUAAUGGCGCCAGAGCUUCAAAGCAAAAACCACCGCGGCAAGCUCCAAGUCAUGCGUAGGGUAAUUCUUCUCAUAAUCCUUUAACUGCCGUGAAGUAUAGGCAAUCACCCUACCAUGCUGCAUCAGCACGCAACCAAGUCCACUGUGCGAUGCAUCACUAUAGAUCACGAAUCCUUCUCCCAUCACAGGAAGGGCAAGAAUAGGAGUUGACGUCAACCUCAGUCUCAACUCAUCAAAGCUCCUCUAACAAUCCUCACUCCAGACAAAACGAAUCCCCUUCCGCGUCAAGCGGGUGAGGGGUGUGAAAAGCUUCGCAAAGCCUUCCACAAACUGACGGUAAUAUCCUGCCAGUCCCAGGAAGCUCCGUACCUCAGUCACCGUCGCCGGUCUAGGCCAAUCUCGAAUCGCCUCAAUCUUCUUCGGGUCCACUGCUACUUUCUCCGCAGAAAUCACGUGGCCCAAGAAAGCAACCUCCCGUAACCAGAACUCGCACUUCUUUAACUUGGCAUACAACUUCUUUUCUCGCAGAAGUUGUAGCACAAUCCUCAAGUGCUCCUCAUGCUCGGUAUCACUCUGGGAGUAUAUCAAGAUAUCGUCGAUGAAGACUACCACAAACCUAUCCAAGAACGGCUUGAACACUCUGUUCAUCAAAUCAUGAAUACGGCAGGGACAUUCGUCAAUCCAAAAGGCAUCACCGUGAACUCAUAAUGCCCGUACCGAGUCCGAAAAGCCGUCUUGCGAACAUCCUCGGCCCUCACCCUCAACUGGUGGUAACCUGACUGGAGAUCAAUCUUCGAAAAGACAUAAGAUCCCCGCAGCUGAUCAAACAAAUCGUCAAUGCACGGCAAGGGAUACUUAUUCUUGAUGGUCACUUUAUUCAGCUCCCGGUAAUCCACGCACAGCCUAAGUGAACCAUCCUUCUUCUUCACAAACACCACCGGCGCUCCCCAAGGCGAAACACUGGGUCUCACAAACCCUCUAUCCAUCAAAUCCUGAAGCUGCGCCUUUAGCUCUCUCAGCUCUGCCGGCGCCAUCCGAUAAGGUACCUUCGAGAUUGGUGCAGUUCCAGGAACUACAUCAAUCACAAACUCAAUCUCCCUUUCCGGCGGCAACGUCGUCAACUCAGGGGGAAAUACAUCCGAAAACUCGCGGACUACUGGGAUGUCCUCGAGUCCCGGCGCCGCCGUAGGUACCUCCACAACUGUCGCUAGGAAAGCGAUACACCUACUGCUCAGUAUCUGUCGAGCCCUCGCCGAAGAUAUCCAGGUGGCAAACAACGUACUCCUGCAGCCUCUGAAAGUAAACUCCUCCUGGCCUGGCUCGCGGAAUGUCACCGUCCUCACUCCACAGUCGAUCAUAGCAUAGUACCGCGCCAGCCAAUCCAUACCGAGUACGACGUUGAAGUCCUGCAGCUGCCCUGACACCAACAGGUCUGCGGGCAUAAUCCACAAGUCUAGCUGCACCGGACAUGACCAACAACACUCCACAACCUGCAAAACAUGGUCUGGGAUCUGCACCUCUCGUGCCUGAGACAACGGUCCUAACUCUAGACCAUGUAACUGUGCAAAUGCUCGGCUAACAAAGGAAUGCGAUGCACCGGUAUCAAAAAGAGUACGAACUCUAAUGCCAGAAAUCAAAGUGAUACCUGCCACUACUCGGUCGGCUGCUGUAGAGUCNAGAGCUUAGCUGUAGGUCAUUGGGACCUAGAAAACCUAAGUUGGCAAACCUUAGGAAGGCAAGACGCGAGAGGCGCGAUUUAUCGCGAAAGUCAAUGAUUAAUUGUUCUAACUCCUCCUCGAGCGGAGUGAGUGACUGAAGGAGUUCCUGUUUUGGCCUGCGAAAUUAUGUUGGCUGCAGACGACAUAAUUUUGGGGGAAAACAGGGGCCGCCUUCCAGACUUUCGUUGAUUGGGUCGAGAGUGUUUGUUGUAUCUGACCCCGAUUUGUUCCUCUCAGCUAUGUAUCGUCGCCGAGGCCGACCGUCGUUGCGGGAUCGUGCUCAGAUGACCCAGGAUCGUGCGAGACCUUCCGAGGUACCCGAGCAGGUGGAGCCGAGUGCCCAACAGGAGCACAUCACUAGACCGGAGACGAGUGCAUCCCCGAAUUUGAGUGCACAGUUAGCCGCCCUGACCGAGGUGACUAGGCGACAGGGAGAAGUUGUUCGAGGAUCUUUACAUUCCAGAGAGGGAGCAGGUACCCUUUGGAGUCCAUUGCUUGGCAGGCGAUGCUCAUGAUUGGUGGAGGAGAGUGCGACGAGAUCUUGGACUGGUAGCUUCCCAGAUGAGAUGGGAUGAGUUCUGUGGAAUGCUGUUCGGGAUGUAUUUUCCCAACAGCAUGAAACAGAAGCUCGAGGAGGAUUUGAGGAGGAUCCAGCAGGGUGAUCGUCAAGUGCAGGAGUAUAUUCGGGAGUUCACUCGACUCCUGAACUGUGUGCCAUUUGUGGCCAGGGAUGAGGCACAUAGGGUUUACAUGUUCGAGCAGGGGCUGAGACCAGAUAUCUUCAGGUUGGUGCGGGCGCAGAGGUCGAGGACCUUGGAUGCGUCCAUGGAGUAGGCCUUGUGGGUGGAGAGAGGUGAGUUGUCACUUCAGGAGAGGACUCAGGCCGUGGGGCAGAGUCAGGAGAGGAAGCGCCCCUUUCCAGAGGAUGGAGGACAGUCGAGUAGCAGACGUCCGCCGAGGCCUCCACGAUCACGCUCUCAGGGUCGUGGGUCUUCGGGGCGUCAGCGUUCUAGGGGAUCCCGUCAGCAGGGACAGACUUAGAGGACACCGCAGUGUGUGAUAUGCGGGGGACCACACUGGCCCCGGCAGUGCGAGCAGAGAGAGGGCAUGUGCUACAGGUGUGGUCAGCCGGGACACAUGAGGGCAGCUUGUUCCCGAGCAGCAUCUCCAGCACCAUCAUCAGCUUCAGCCCCACCAGCACCCCAGCAGUCUUACGGAGCAGCUCCGAGUUUCCGCCAGGAGGACAGAUCAUCUGUGCCGCAUCAGGCUGAGCGGCGACAGCAGACUCCGAGUGGCAGAGUCUAUGCAGCUCAGGUGGAAGACUCUACAGUAGCUGACCGAGUGGUGGCAGGUAUCACUUUGAUUUCAGGCAUUCGUACUCGUACUCUUUUUGAUACCGGUGCCUCGCAUUCUUUUGUUAGCCGAGCAUUUGCAUUAUUGCAUGGUCUAGAGUUAGGAAUUUUGGCGUAGGCACGAGAGGUGCAGAUCCCGGACCAUAUUUUACAGGUUGCAGAGUGUUAUUGGUCUUGUCCGGUGCAGCUAGAUUCAUGGAUUAUGCCCGCAAACUUGUUAGUGUUAGGGCAGCUGCAGGACUUCGACGUUGUACUCGGUAUGGAUUUGCUGGCGCAAUAUUAUGCUACGAUUGACUGUGGAGCGAGGACGGUGACGUUCCGCGAGCCAGGCUAGGAGGAGUUCACUUUCAGAGGAUGCAGGAGCACGUUGUUUGCUACGUGGAUAUCUUCGGCGAGGGCUCGACAGAUGCUGAGUAGUGGGUGUAUCGCUUUNGUACGAACUCUAAUGCCAGAAAUCAAAGUGAUACCUGCCACUACUCGGUCGGCUGCUGUAGAGUCCUCCACCUGAGCUGCAUAGACCCUGCCACUCGGAGCCUGCUGUCGCCGCUCACCCGACCACGGCACAGACGAUCUGUCCUCCUGGCGGUAACUCGGUGUUACUCCGUAAGACUGCUGUGGUGCUGGUGGUGCUGAAGCUGAUGACGGUGCUGGAGAUGCUGCUCGGGGACAAGCUGCCCUCAUGUGUCCCGGCUCACCACAUCCGUAGCACCUGCCCUCUUUCUGCUGGCACUGCCGGGGCCAGUGUGGUCUCCCGCAGAUCACACACUGUGGCGUCCUUUAAGUCUGCCCCUGCUGACGGGAUCCCCUGGAACGCUGAUGCCCCGAAGACCCACGACUCUGAUAGCGUGAUCAUGGAGGCCUUGGUGGACGUCUGCUGCUCGACUAUCCUCCAUCAUCUGGAAAGGGGCGCUUCCUGUCCUGACCUUGCCCCACGGCCUGAGUCUUCUCCUGCAGCGACACCUCACCUCUCUCCACCCAUAGGGCCUGCUCUAUGGACGCAUCCAGGGUUCUCGACCUCUGCGCACGUGCAAACCUGAAGAUAUCUGGUCUCAGCCCUUGCUCGAACAUGUACACCCUGUGCGCCUCAUCUCUGGCCACAAAUGGCACACAGUUCAGGAGUCGAGUAAACUCCCGAACGUACUCCUGCACUGGGCGAUCUCCCUGCUGAAGCCUCCUCAAAUCCUCCUCGACUUUCUGCUUCACACUAUUGGGAAAGAACAUCCCAAAUAGCAUUCCACAGAACUCAUCCCAGUCAUGAGCAUCACCUGCUAAACAGUGUACUCCCAGAGGUACCUGCUCCCCCUCCGGAAUGAACAGAUCCUCAAAUAGCUUCUCCAUCGCACUGACCCAUCCCUCAACAACUCAGGCCUCAGUGCAUCUGUCAUCGAAAAUCGGUGGAUCAAAUCGGCGAAAACGAGCUAGCCUCUCCGUCCACCGCUCCUGCUCAGCCUCUGUCAACUGUACAGGCCCCCUAGCAGGCGCAACUGGCGCUACUAGCAUUGCUGCUGGCGGAGGAACUGCCGAAGCUGGUACCGUCACUGGGGUAGUCGGAGGUGGAACAGACGACUCAGGUGCCCUCGGUGCAGAACUCUGGGGCGAAACUAGCCUCUCGCACAUUCUCAACAACAACUCCCCCUGUCGCCUCGUCACCUCUGUCAGGGCGGCUAACUGUGCACUCAAAUCGGGGGAUGCACUCGCCUCUGGUCGGGCUCUCUGCUCUACAACUGGGGGUGCAGUCACCUCUGGUGGUGCAUUCGGCUCUGCCUGCUCAGGCAUCUCGGGAGAUCUAGCACGAUCCUGCGCCAAUUGCGCAUGCUCGCGCAACGACGGUCGGCCUCGGCGACGAUACAUAGCUGAAAAGAACAUAUCGGGGUCAGUUGAAACAUAAACACUCUUGACUCAAUCAACGAAAGUCUGGAAGGCGGUCCCUAUUUCCCUCCAAAAUUAUGUCGUCUGCAGCCAACAUAAUUUCUCAGGCCAAAACAGGAACUCCUUCAGUCACUCACUCCACUCUAGGAGAAGUUAGAACAAAUAAUCAUUGACUUUCGCUAUAAAUUACGCCUCUCACGUCUUGCCUUCCUAAGGUUUGCCAAACUUAGGUUUCCUAGAUCCCAACGACCUACAGCAAAGCUCUGAUACCAACUUAAUCUGUCACGCCCCGGAUNUUCGAAGAUCGAUCUCCAGUCAGGUUACCACCAGUUGAGGGUGAGGGCCGAGGAUGUUCCCAAGACGGCUUUUCUUACUCGGUACCGGCAUUAUGAGUUUACGGUGAUGCCUUUUGGAUUGACGAAUGCCCCUGCCGCAUUCAUGGAUUUGAUGAACAGAGUGUUCAAGCCGUUCUUGGAUAAGUUUGUGGUAGUCUUCAUUGACGAUAUCUUGACUUACUCCCGGAGCGAUGCUGAGCAUGAGGAGCUUUGACGAGUUGAGACUGAGAUUGACGUCAGCUCCUAUUCUUGCCCUUCCGGUGAUGGGAGAAGAAUUCGUGAUCUACAGUGAUGCAUCGCACAGUGGACUUGGUUGUAUAUUGAUGCAGCAUGGUAGGGUAAUUGCUUAUGCUUCACGGCAGUUAAAGGAUUAUGAGAAGAAUUACCCUACGCAUGACUUGGAGCUUGCCGCGGUGGUUUUUGCGUUGAAGCUCUGGCGGCAUUACUUGUACGGCGAGCACUGUGAGGUUUUCACCAAUCAUAAAAGUCUCAAAUAUCUGUUCACACAGAGGGAGCUGAACCUGAGGCAGCGCCGGUGGUUGGAGUUACUGAAGGACUACGACAUUAGUAUUCAGUAUCAUCCCGGCAGGGCGAAUGUGGUGGCAUGUGCGUUGAGCAGGAAGGCAGUGCAGAGUCUGAGUUCGAUGAUCACACAGCAGAGACCCUUACUCGAGGAGCUACAGCGGCUGGGACUUGAGAUAGUACCCCCUGGGUCUACAGCGAGGCUGACGUCUCUAGUUUUGCAGCCCACUCUGUUGGAUAAGAUCCGAGAGAAACAGAGUGGAGAUCCCUACUUGUUGAGGAUUAGAAAGCAGUAAGACGGGGGGCAAGCUGAGGGUUUUGCUUUGGAUAGUUCGGGAGUACUACGGUACAGGGGCCGACUAUGUGUGCCUAUGGAUUCAGAGAUUCGAGUAGACAUUCUGAGAGAGGCUCAUUGUUCUCCUUAUACGGUUCACCCAGGAGGAACCAAGAUGUAUAAGGACUUAAAGGCACGGUUCUGGUGGCAUGGAAUGAAGAGGGACAUUGGCAGAUUUGUGGUUCAGUGUUUGACUUGCCAACAUGUGAAAGCUAAGCAUCAGGUGCCUGCUGGCAAACUUCAGAGUCUACCAGUGCCAGAGUGGAAAUGGGAGUACAUCACGAUGGAUUUCGUCGUUGGUUUGCCUAGAGCGCAGGGUGGCUAUGACGCGAUUUGGGUUAUAGUGGACAGACUGACCAAGUCUGCUCACUUCCUACCGGUUCAGACUAUUUGGUCCAGAGAGAGACUCGUGCAGCUAUAUCUGGAUGAGAUCGUUAGGCUACACGGCAUGCCAGUAUCGAUUGUGUCAGACAGAGACCCGAGGUUUGUAUCCCAGUUUUGGAGGAGCCUUCAGAUAGCCUUGGGCACUCAGCUGCAUUUCAGCAUGGCAUUCCACCCACAGACAGAUGGUCAGUCAGAGCGGACCAUUCAGACUCUAGAGGACAUGCUGAGGGCAUGCGUCCUGGAUUUUGGAGGAGGAUGGUAUCGACAUGUGAGACUGGUUGAGUUUGCGUACAACAACAGCUAUCAAGCGAGCAUCCAGAUGGUUCCGUUUGAGGCGUUGUAUGGACGCAGAUGUCGAUCCCCUCUGUUUUGGAGUGAUGUGGGUGAGAGGAGGAUAUUUGGACCGGAGAUCUUACUUGAGGCUGAGGAAAAGGUGAGAGUCGUUCAACGACACCUUUUGACCGCUCAGAGCCGCCAGAGGAGCUACGCCGAUACCAGGAGACGAGACUUAGAGUUUCAUGUUAGAGAUCAUGUUUUCCUUAAAGUCUCGCCGUUCAGAGGAUUCGCCGAUUUGGAGUACGUGGAAAGCUCAGUCCGCGUUUUGUUGGGCCCUUUGAGGUAUUGGAGCGUAUUGGACCGAUUGCUUACAGGAUAGCUCUACCCCCGCGACUUGCUGGCAUACACGAUGUUUUCCACAUCUCAGCAUUGAGGAGAUAUGUUUUCGAUCCCUCUCACGUGAUCGACUUCACUCCACUUGAGAUCGGCGAGGAUCUGAGAUACGAGGAGCGACCGUUGCGGAUUCUUGCUCGGGAGACGAAAGAAUUGUGCAAUCGGGUCAUCCCGUAUAUGAAAGUGCAGUGGAGCAAUCACGAGGAGCGGGAGGCGACUUGGGAGCCUGAGACGGUGAUGAGAGAGUCCUACCCCGACCUGUUCGUUACUCCGUGUUGAGGUAUGUUUAAGUUUCGAGGACGAAACUUUUUGUAGUGGGGGAGGAUGUAGUAUCCUUGUUUUAUUUAUUAAUUAAUUAACUUAUUUAUGUUUUAUGUCGGUUGGUGCAUGCAAAUUGGGGUGGCUUGGAUGCCACGUCCACCCAUGCAUGCAAAUUAGGGUGGCUUGGAUGCCACGUGCACCCUUUGCAUGCUCAUCAACAAAUUAGGUGGGCAUUGCCUAAUCUUUCUACUUCUCUCUUUGUUCAACCGAAGCAAAGAGCUCGGAGGAGGUAGCCGCGAGCACGAGUUCGACGNNNNNNNNNNNNNNNNNNNNNNNNNNNNNNNNNNNNNNNNNNNNNNNNNNNNNNNNNNNNNNNNNNNNNNNNNNNNNNNNNNNNNNNNNNNNNNNNNNNNNNNNNNNNNNNNNNNNNNNNNNNNNNNNNNNNNNNNNNNNNNNNNNNNNNNNNNNNNNNNNNNNNNNNNNNNNNNNNNNNNNNNNNNNNNNNNNNNNNNNNNNNNNNNNNNNNNNNNNNNNNNNNNNNNNNNNNNNNNNNNNNNNNNNNNNNNNNNNNNNNNNNNNNNNNNNNNNNNNNNNNNNNNNNNNNNNNNNNNNNNNNNNNNNNNNNNNNNNNNNNNNNNNNNNNNNNNNNNNNNNNNNNNNNNNNNNNNNNNNNNNNNNNNNNNNNNNNNNNNNNNNNNNNNNNNNNNNNNNNNNNNNNNNNNNNNNNNNNNNNNNNNNNNNNNNNNNNNNNNNNNNNNNNNNNNNNNNNNNNNNNNNNNNNNNNNNNNNNNNNNNNNNNNNNNNNNNNNNNNNNNNNNNNNNNNNNNNNNNNNNNNNNNNNNNNNNNNNNNNNNNNNNNNNNNNNNNNNNNNNNNNNNNNNNNNNNNNNNNNNNNNNNNNNNNNNNNNNNNNNNNNNNNNNNNNNNNNNNNNNNNNNNNNNNNNNNNNNNNNNNNNNNNNNNNNNNNNNNNNNNNNNNNNNNNNNNNNNNNNNNNNNNNNNNNNNNNNNNNNNNNNNNNNNNNNNNNNNNNNNNNNNNNNNNNNNNNNNNNNNNNNNNNNNNNNNNNNNNNNNNNNNNNNNNNNNNNNNNNNNNNNNNNNNNNNNNNNNNNNNNNNNNNNNNNNNNNNNNNNNNNNNNNNNNNNNNNNNNNNNNNNNNNNNNNNNNNNNNNNNNNNNNNNNNNNNNNNNNNNNNNNNNNNNNNNNNNNNNNNNNNNNNNNNNNNNNNNNNNNNNNNNNNNNNNNNNNNNNNNNNNNNNNNNNNNNNNNNNNNNNNNNNNNNNNNNNNNNNNNNNNNNNNNNNNNNNNNNNNNNNNNNNNNNNNNNNNNNNNNNNNNNNNNNNNNNNNNNNNNNNNNNNNNNNNNNNNNNNNNNNNNNNNNNNNNNNNNNNNNNNNNNNNNNNNNNNNNNNNNNNNNNNNNNNNNNNNNNNNNNNNNNNNNNNNNNNNNNNNNNNNNNNNNNNNNNNNNNNNNNNNNNNNNNNNNNNNNNNNNNNNNNNNNNNNNNNNNNNNNNNNNNNNNNNNNNNNNNNNNNNNNNNNNNNNNNNNNNNNNNNNNNNNNNNNNNNNNNNNNNNNNNNNNNNNNNNNNNNNNNNNNNNNNNNNNNNNNNNNNNNNNNNNNNNNNNNNNNNNNNNNNNNNNNNNNNNNNNNNNNNNNNNNNNNNNNNNNNNNNNNNNNNNNNNNNNNNNNNNNNNNNNNNNNNNNNNNNNNNNNNNNNNNNNNNNNNNNNNNNNNNNNNNNNNNNNNNNNNNNNNNNNNNNNNNNNNNNNNNNNNNNNNNNNNNNNNNNNNNNNNNNNNNNNNNNNNNNNNNNNNNNNNNNNNNNNNNNNNNNNNNNNNNNNNNNNNNNNNNNNNNNNNNNNNNNNNNNNNNNNNNNNNNNNNNNNNNNNNNNNNNNNNNNNNNNNNNNNNNNNNNNNNNNNNNNNNNNNNNNNNNNNNNNNNNNNNNNNNNNNNNNNNNNNNNNNNNNNNNNNNNNNNNNNNNNNNNNNNNNNNNNNNNNNNNNNNNNNNNNNNNNNNNNNNNNNNNNNNNNNNNNNNNNNNNNNNNNNNNNNNNNNNNNNNNNNNNNNNNNNNNNNNNNNNNNNNNNNNNNNNNNNNNNNNNNNNNNNNNNNNNNNNNNNNNNNNNNNNNNNNNNNNNNNNNNNNNNNNNNNNNNNNNNNNNNNNNNNNNNNNNNNNNNNNNNNNNNNNNNNNNNNNNNNNNNNNNNNNNNNNNNNNNNNNNNNNNNNNNNNNNNNNNNNNNNNNNNNNNNNNNNNNNNNNNNNNNNNNNNNNNNNNNNNNNNNNNNNNNNNNNNNNNNNNNNNNNNNNNNNNNNNNNNNNNNNNNNNNNNNNNNNNNNNNNNNNNNNNNNNNNNNNNNNNNNNNNNNNNNNNNNNNNNNNNNNNNNNNNNNNNNNNNNNNNNNNNNNNNNNNNNNNNNNNNNNNNNNNNNNNNNNNNNNNNNNNNNNNNNNNNNNNNNNNNNNNNNNNNNNNNNNNNNNNNNNNNNNNNNNNNNNNNNNNNNNNNNNNNNNNNNNNNNNNNNNNNNNNNNNNNNNNNNNNNNNNNNNNNNNNNNNNNNNNNNNNNNNNNNNNNNNNNNNNNNNNNNNNNNNNNNNNNNNNNNNNNNNNNNNNNNNNNNNNNNNNNNNNNNNNNNNNNNNNNNNNNNNNNNNNNNNNNNNNNNNNNNNNNNNNNNNNNNNNNNNNNNNNNNNNNNNNNNNNNNNNNNNNNNNNNNNNNNNNNNNNNNNNNNNNNNNNNNNNNNNNNNNNNNNNNNNNNNNNNNNNNNNNNNNNNNNNNNNNNNNNNNNNNNNNNNNNNNNNNNNNNNNNNNNNNNNNNNNNNNNNNNNNNNNNNNNNNNNNNNNNNNNNNNNNNNNNNNNNNNNNNNNNNNNNNNNNNNNNNNNNNNNNNNNNNNNNNNNNNNNNNNNNNNNNNNNNNNNNNNNNNNNNNNNNNNNNNNNNNNNNNNNNNNNNNNAUUAAUUUAUUAUGUUAUAAAUUUCUUUGAAAAUUAACUCGAGGAUUUAAAUACGUAAUUAAUCGUGAUUAAAUCUUUUAAUUAACUAAUUGGUUUAAAUACGUUAAAAAUCCGUCCAAACUAACCUUGAAUAAAAUAAUCCUUUUACCUGCUAAGUAUUAAAGUUACAUUUUUACCCUCUAUUAAUCAACGGUUAAGAUCUUUUUAAUUUUUUUUUAAAAAAAAGUACCGAAUCAUUUCUCAUAUUUAAAAAACCGAUAUCUUGCCGAUUUCAUGAAAUCAAAAGCUUUGCGGUACUGACCGUCCCUAGCGUAAGUGGCAAAAAGGCUUGGUGGUUGGUACUCGAGACCCAAAUUCGAAUCCUAGUUGAUUCAUAUUUUCAGCUGAGUUUAUUUUUAAAUGAAAUAAACGAAACGGGUAGCGAGCUUUGCCGUAGAGUUCCAAAGAAUCGUCAUUUACAUAAUAAGUUAGAAUUAUUAAAGUUUAAUAGUAAAUUGUAAAACAAAAUUUAGCUAUAAAUUAGUUAGUCGCGUGAUCAUGCGUGAGUCAAUUUUUGAGUAAAAUAGCCAGUUUAUUAUUAAUUCACUUAUUUUGUCAGAUAGUUAAUUUUUAAAAUAAGCGCCAAGCCAAUUUAAUAAAAUUGAAAAGUUUUGUGGUAGAUUUCAAAUUUAAAUAGUAAAUUAGAAUGUUUUAAAAUUUAAUGGUAAAUUAUAAACCAAAAUUUAUAUCAUUCUGACUUUUUUUUUUUUCUUUUAUUUGAUUUCAAGAAUACUGCAUCAGAAUGUCUACAGACCAGUUGUGGGGCGAUUUUCACAAAAUUUAAAAUAGAACUCAAGUGAAAAACCAAAAUUCGAAAUCAUACCCGAACCCAAUUAGAUAUUAAAAUUGAGACUCGAAAUUAAAUCCAGAUAAAAAAAAAUAAUCAAAAAUCUGGAUUCAAAACUGAAAAAUCGAACCCGGCUAUUUAAUAUACUAGAUAUAAAUUAAAUUAUUAAUAUAUAUUAGUAAUUAUUAAAAUAAAUAUCUAAAAAAUAUAUUACACAUAUAUAAUAAAUGUUUGUUUAAAUUUACACUUUUGGUCCUCUUCAAACUUUAAAUUAUUAUAAUUUUUUAUUUGAACUUUCUGAAUUUCUGAAUUAUUACAAUCAAAUCUCGCAGCUAAAUUUAGUUGGCUUGGCAAAUUGUUGACAUGGGAAUAAUAAAAUAUAUUAAUUAUUAUCGCAUCGUCAACCACAAUACUUAUACAUUAUAUCUACAUUAACAAUUUAUCAAUAUUUAGCUAAUUAGAGUAGGUUGUGUAAUUUUAUUAGAACAAACCAAAAAAAGUUGGAGCAAGAAACCAUAUGGCUUGAGGACCAAAGUGUUACGCAUUUCAUAGUUUGAGGACCAAAAGUGUAAUUUAGUUGAGCUCUAUUCGUAUCCGGUAUUGAGAUGCAAAUAAAAUAUGAAAUAUCCGUACCGGGUCGGUAUCCCUGAUCCUACAGCGUUUGCAGACACAAGAGGACAGUUGUCAAUUUCUUUAUUUCAUUUCACCAGUCAGCCGGCAGUGCAUUGGUUUUCGGAACUGGGAAGACCAACAUGCAUGCUGAAAUCUUUGGGAGGUGGGUAGUGUUUGUUUAGUUGGAUCAAAUGUAGAAAAUUUCCUCUUCUAUUAACAACCGGGUUAAUUACACCGGUAGUUCUCAACCUUUGGAUCAAUUUUUACUAAUAAGAUUCUAAUUUUUUUUUUUACAAUUAAAUUUCUAAUCUCUUGAUUUUUUAUUACAGUUAGUCCCAACCGUUAAAAAAAUGUUAAAAUUAACAGAAUUGCCACAUCAGCACCUAUUUGACAUUUUUGUAUGUUAAUUUAGCUCUCUAAACUUUGCACGUUUUUCCUUUUAGCCCCAAUAAAUAAAAAUUUUAAAAUUAAAUUUAAAUUCAAAAAUAAUAUUAAAAUUAAAAUUUUAAGCUAACGAGAAAUUAGAAUUUGAAUUGAAUUUAAGCUGAAUUAAAUUUUUGAAUUGAAAAUUCAAAUUUUAAAUUUAAAUUUUUAAUUGAAUCUAAAUUUUGAAUUCAAACUUAAAUUUUUGAUUUUGAUUUUGAUAUUUCAAUUUACAUUUAAAAUAAAAGUUUUGAAACCGAAAUUAUAUUUACAAUUUGAAUUUAAAUUUAAAAUGAUAUUCAAAAUUUUGAUUUUAAAGUUUAAAUUUGAAUUCAAAAUUUAAAUUUGAAUUUAAGAUUUGAUUUCAAUUCUAAAUUUGAAUUUAAACUUCGAAUUCAAAUUCACAUUUUGAAUUUGAAAUUUCAAAUCGAAGUUUGAAAUUAAAUUAGAAUUUAGAAUUCGAAAUGUGAAUUUGAAUUUAAAAUUAAAAAUUUAAAAUUAAAUACAAAAUCGGAAUUUGAAUUCUAAUUUAAAUUUGAAUCCAAAAUCGAUAUUUAAAUUUAAAAUUUAAAUCUUAAAUUAAAAAUCUUGUUUUGAAAUCAUAAAUUUAAUAGGUUAAUUACACUAUUGGUCCCAACCUUUGCACCGUUUUUCGAUUUGGUCCCCAACUUUUUUUUUUUUUUGCAAUUCGCUGACACACUGCCAUCGUGGCGCUGACACGAAGCCUCCAUGGUGUUGACAUGGCGUCUCCGUGGCACUGACAUGGUGCUGACGUGGCAUUUUUCGUCAAUUUUAACACUUAUCUAACGGCUGUGACCUAAUUGUAAUGAAAUUAAGAGAUUAGGGAUUUGAUUGUAAAAAAAAUUGAUUGAAAAUCAGAUUGAAAAACGGUGUAAAGACUAGGGACCAUUGGUGUAAUUAAUCCAUUAACAACCAGAAGUAUUGGUUGUUAAAAAAGCAAAAGAAUAUAUAUUGUCAUAUUUUUUUUUUUUUUUUUGAGAGAUAGGUAGCACGCUACCCGCUUCGUUUAUUUCAUUCAGAAAUGAACUUAGCCAGAAAUGUGAAUCAAUUAGGAUUCGAAUUUGGGUCUCGGGUGCCAACCACCAAGCCCUUUGCCGCUUAUUUCAUUUUCAUCUUUACGUAUCCUUCGUAGCCUUUGGAUACAGCAAAAAUAGAAUCUCUCAAUUUAAGGUUUUAUUCGGCACUUAUCUGUCAUAUUAUAACUCAAAUUUAAGUAAAAAUUAUUAAUAAUAAUUAUAUAAUUUUAUUUUUUAUUUUAUAAAAUUUAUAUAUAGUGUAGAUAUAUAUUGAAUUUUUUUAUAUUUUUUUAUUCUAACAAAUUCAAAUUUAAAUAUAUAUUUUAAAUUAAAAAUAUCAAAAUUAAAAAUUUAAUAUAACAAUAAAAUAUUAGUAGAUAGAAUAGAGAUAAUAUAUAAAUAUUUAUCUUAAAAAAAGAUAUUGAAUGAUAAAAGUAUUUAAUAAAAAAUAAAAUAUUAAUGGCUGGAGAAAAAUGAGGAACUAAAAGUUUGUUUUGUUACGUUAUUUAUUUCGCGUACGAAUUUUUUUUUUUUUUGAAAUAGGUAUGUCGACAGGUCGAAAUUUGAAAUACGUAUUUUUAUAUAUAAUAAUAUAGAAUAUAGACAUCGAGUUGAGUUAGAAUACUUUUAAUAGUAUAUGGCCUCUUUUGCUAUCCUGUUUUUAGCCGUUAGAUCUAUUCUAAUUAUUUUUACUAUUGGAUUAAUAUUAUUUCACUAACAAGUACUAAACCCUGAGGGGACUACCACUCAAACCUAGAAAACCACUAUCAUCCUAACUCUACAAUUGUCAUCCAACGGUUAAAAAACUGAAUAGUAAAAGAGCCUCUAUAUAUAUAUAUAUAUAUAUAUAUAUUUUUGUAGUGACUCCUUAUUGAAGACGUUCAUAUCAAAAUUAUAUAUGAUAUUUAGUUUUUGUUAUUUAUGAUUUGUGUACUAAUUAUUUUAUUUAUUCAUAAUUAUAAAGUAGUGGUUUAGAUUUCUUUUUGCGGUAUAAUUUUUACGCUAUUGUCCUAAACAUGCAUAAGGUGAUUAUGAAAAUUUAGAGUAGACUAUAUUCAUACAGUUUAUAAAUUUUCAAUCAUAUAAGGUUGUGAAGAAAAUUAUUUUGGAUUUUUUUUUUUCGCUGCGUUUUGAAAUAAUAAGAAAUUUUGGAUCAUUCAAUAUUAUAUAAAGAUUUGUAAAAUCAACUAUGUCUCAGAAUAGCCACAACAUUCUAGUCAUGGUAUAUUUUUACUUACGGUUUUUUUUUUUAUUUUAUAAAAUUAUAUUGAACCAAGAUUUAUCUGAAAAUUUGUACAUAUUUCUAAUUUAAUUUUAGGAGCAAUUGCUUAUAUACCCGUGAAAAAUUUUCAACUUUCUGAUUUACCCUUCUUAGAAGGAUAAUAUUAACAAUAUUCUUUUUACGUUCCAAUUUAUUUCAAAUAUAUCUCUAGAGUUAAAUUCUAUUAAUGAGCGGUUAACAAUAGCUGUUAUCUUAAAAUUACUAUUUUGCCCUUUCAAAUAUACCCUUCUACCAUCACCAACUUUUCUUAUUUGCCCUCAAGUUGGGAGCACAAAAAAUAUUUUAAUUUUUGGUAUUUUCAGCUAUACCCUUCUACUAUCACCGACAUUUCUUAUUUACCCUUAAGUUAGGGGCAAAAGAGACAUUUUAAUUUUUUUUUUUUUAACUCUAAUAGAUAUUUAACUCACGUUUAACCUAAGUUAACUUAAUGAGUGAUAACUGUAGGAGUAUUUUGGAAUAAUGGAGGAACAUUUGAGGGGUAUAUUGGAAAGAAAAAAAAAAGUAGGGAUAAAUGAGAUAUUUUUAAAGUUUUGAGAGAUAUAUAGUGUAGUGUUUCUGAGCUUUGGAUAGGAUUGGCUUUAGUGUUAGUGACUAGUCGACACAUCUGGAGAGUGUCGGACUGAGUCGGAGUCGUUUCUGCGCGAAAUGGAUGCAGAAAUAGACUCGGCGCACUCAAAUAAGCAAAACUAGAGUUUUGCCAGAUUCGGGCGCCCAGAACUGGCCUUGGGUCGCCCAGAAGUUGAGUGCAGAACUGGACAGAACUGGAAGCCAAUUCGAAUCCGGGUUUCGGGCGCCCGAAUGUGGGUCCGAAUGUUCACCUCGUGAGUAUCGUUUGCGCUGACACGUGGCUGGUGGUAGCUGAGGUCCGCCAGAGCCGGAUAUGGGCGCAGUGCACCGUGGGCGGAGGAUUCGAAGUGGAACAAUUGUGCAGCCUGGAGGUUUUGGACGCCCAAAACAUGCUUUCGGGCGCCCGAAAGUGCCAUUUCUGCAGAACUACAGGUUUGUAGCUGUUGUUUCUGAGGCUUAUUGGACCGCUCUAACACCCUAUAAAUAGGUGGUGUUCGACCACAGUGGGCUCUUUUCACCUGUUCUUCACAAAGAAGCCUCAAAUUGCUUUUCCAUCCUUCAGAUUUCCUCAAAUUGCAUCAAAUCUUUCAAUUGAAAGGUGGUGGAGUGCUGACCCUGUAGUUUUCCAGCAAUGAUCUUCAGUGUUUUGGCUUGUGUGCGACGUAGGAAGGUCGGAUUGCGGUGAAACUUGGUUUGUUGGAUUCUAGACUUCCAGAGGAAUCCAGAAGCCCAUAAUUGUAUUUUUUGGUUGAGGUUAGCUUGGUCGAUUCCAUGUUUUCCUAGACUGUUGGUGACUUAGAACUGAAAAUCUGAUUUUUGGGUUUUUCUUGGUGCAAGUCUUGGAAGGAGCGGGAUUUUGGACCUGAGAUUGAUACUCCAUCAUUAUUCACUGGAUUUGGAACUUGCCUCACCUGAAUUGGAGAUUAUUAGGUGAGUUUUGAGAUUGGAGUUGAGACAAUUAAGCUUAAGUGCUGAAAUUUUGAUGAAUUGAUGGAUUUUGAUGGAUUUUGGAUGUAGAUCCUUCGAGUAGCUUUGUUGCUGGUUGUGGGUGACCUCGGCUGAGGAUUCCAGCAUUUUUUUGACCUUCUUUCUAUCUGGGAAUUGCACCAGAGGUGGGUUUAUCAUCAGUUUUGCUCCUAAGUAUAUGUAUAGUAAACAUGUAUAGUUUUGACUUUGGAAUAUCAUGUUGUAGCUCAGAUUCAUCGAUUGGUUUAAUGUACGAAAUCUGAAUUUGGAGCAUGAAUAGUAAUUAGUUGAAUAUACAUGUUGAACUUGGAACUUGACUUAGGAGAAAACCAGCGAUUCGACCUGUCAUAUAAUUCUACUACCUGAUUUAGCUCUAGGAGCCGUAGUUUGGUUGUAUCACUGAUGUUUCAGCGCGGUGGAUACCCGGGGUAGUCUAGAAUGCAUUUACGCUCGUGCUGGGAUGCCGAGCUUAUUUUUACAGCAGAGUCUAGGCUGUUUCGGGUUGUCGGGCACAGUCGGGGUGGACGGUGGACCCAGAUUUCUGUUUUUGGUCUCAGAUUGUGCCGAUGGCACGUGUGUUUGGUUUCUAGACCUGUUUUGACCCUAGCUACUUGUCUUUGGCUUGUUAGAGCCUGAUUGAGCUCGACAGAGAUACGCUUGCAUACUCGGUUGGGUAGCGCUCACGAGUGCCACUCCGAAGUCGGGCUUAGUGCGUUUACGUUUGUGUCGUUUGUGCAGGUUGGACUUGCUCUCUACGGACUGGUUAGUGUGAAGAUAGCUGUAUAGUCACAACCGGGCAGGACGGGUGUGUUCACAGUCCCAGGGACGGGUAUGAUUACAGUUCUUAUUGAGAUUGGGUCUGAAAUGACAUUGUUCUACAGAGGGUAGAGUUGGAGCUUGAUGGUAUAGUGGCAUUUAUCUGUAGAUUUAUUCCAGCUUUUCUUACUAUUCCUGCUUAUUCCUGUAGACUUAGUGGGUGGACCGAUGAGUUUGAGGGCGGUACCCACUGAGGAUUACUUGUUUUUACAGUAGUUCUCACGCCCUGUUGUUACCACUGUUUUUGCAGAGCCGUCGCCUUUGGCUGCUGCUGUUGCUGAUCUUGAUCGUGGUAAGAGCGUCGCGAGUUAGAACCCUUCCAGUUGAGUCGCAGAGCUAGAGGAGCACCAGGUACAGGUAGUUGUACUUUUUGGGUCUUUACGUACAGUUGUUGUUUCUCGCCAGAGCGAGUAUUUGUAUAUCUUGGAUGACAUGUAUGUAUUGAACCAUCGUUUUUAUAUAUGGUUUAUUUUUCUAGCUACUCUAUACUACUGUUUGUAGUAUUGUAUGAUUACAGGUACUUCUACUUUUUCGCUUCGUAUACCGAGGAAAUACCUAUGUAUACGGCGGGUCUGUUAGCGAGCCCAGAAAAACAAAUAAUUCGGGGUGAGACAUAUAGGCAAUUAUUUCUUAAUUUUAAUAGUCAUUCAAUAUCAAAUAAGGAAUAUCAAAUAAGGUUAUUUGUAUCUUUCAUUAUGUUUAAGAAUAGGCACAGUAUCCUAUAGAUAAUGAAGAAUGUAUAAGAAUUUACUAAUAUUGAAUUAAAGUAUGACCAUUUAUUGCAGUCAAAUAAAAUAAUAUUUUUUUUCUAUUUUGAUUGGAAUAAGAUAGUAAAUUGAAUUUUUAGAUAGCAAAUUUUUUAUACCCACAGAUACAAAAAUCUCGUUGUUUAGAAACAAUUUUUUGCUAGUUUUAUUAUUAAAGUAGAUAAAUUUUAUACGUAUAGCGCCUCUACCCACAGAAAGAUAGAAUUAUCUAAUUUAAUGAUUAUUGUUUUAUAGUAGCCGAUAAAGUUCUAUAUUUACUUUGUUCUUACGACUUCUUCCUCUGUCGUAUUUCUUAAUGUUGUUUCUGGUAUUCCUAUACAACUGGAAACAACUAUUCUGAUUGGAAAGAAAGUAUUUCUUUUAUUUUGGGUUAUAUGGAUUUUUAUUUGGCUGUGUGUGUUGAGCAGCCAUCGGAGGUAGAUGGGUCAAUGACUCCACAGAAGGAAUCUACGCAGGAUAAGUGGGAGCGAUCCAACUGUUUAAGCUUGAUGCUCAUAAAGUCUUGAGUAUCAAAAAACUAUACGGGGAUCAAUUUCAAAAAGUGAUAAAGUCAAUGAUUACGUAAAGGCUAUUGAAAAGUAGUUUGUCAACUCCGAUAAAGUUUUGGCGAGCACCCUGAUGAAGUGACUUUCAGAAUUUUCUCUUAUUAUUAUAUAUGGAUGAUAUUCUGUUUGCAAGUUGUGAUUUAAGUUUGUUUAAGAAGACAGAAGAUUUUCUUUCUAAGAACUUUAUGCUGAAAGAUAUAUGUGAACCUUUUUAUAUCAUCGGUAUAAAAAUUUACAAAAAUAAAUCUCGAAGAAUUUUGGGUCUAUCUCAGAAAGUCCACAUCGAAAGAGUUCUAGAAAGCUUUAAUAUGACAAACUGUGUUGUGACUAUUGUGAAAGGUGGCAGAUUCAAUCAGAAAUAAUGUCUACAGAAUGAUUUAAAGUGAGAGCAUAUGAAAAACAUACCUUAUGCCUUUGCAGUAGAGAGCUUGAUGUAUGCGCAGGAAAAUAUCAGGUCUGAUAUAGCUCAUGCGGUGGAGAUGCUGGGCAGAUACCAAAGCAAUGUGGCUUUGGUCACUGAAAAGCUGCGAAGAAAGUCAUAAGAUAUUUAAAAAGAACAAAGGACUAUAUGCUCAUCUAUAGUUAUUCUGACCAUCUUGGGUGAUUGGAUAUUAAUACUCUGAUUUUGCUAGAUAUGUAGAUUCUAGAAAGUCCACUUCGGGAUAUAUUUUCUUCCUUACUCAAGGUGCUAUAUCUUAGAGGAGCACCAAGUAGGGUGCUUUUCUUGAGGAGACAGUCGGUAAGAGGUUGUGGGGGCCCUCCUGUUCUGGGACGCUAACCAUAAGUUGCAACAUCCACUAUGGAGAUAGAGUUUGUCGCUUGUUAUGAGGCUUCAUCACAAGUUUUAUGGCUAAGAAAUUUCAUCUCAGAUUUAAGAGUUGUCGACCCUAUCGUAAGACCAAUUAAAAUUUAUUGUGACAAUUCUGCUACAUUAUUUUUUUAUUAAGAAUAGUCGAAUUAUAGAUCACAACAAAUAUAUCGAUAUAAAGUAUCUUACUGUGAAAAAAUACGACAAGAAGAAUGUGGAUAUCCAACAUAUUGGGAUUGAGAUGAUGAUUGUUGAUCUUAUGACUAAAGCAUUGCCGGCAAAUAAGUUCAAGAAUCUUGCUGAUCGUAUGGGUAUCUUGAGUCUAUUUACAGUUUAAGUAUUUUUUCUUGUAUAAAGACUUUAAUAACUAUUCUUAUUUGAAAAAGUACAUAUUUUGAUUUUUUGCACAUAUGUGGAUAAAGUUAUCUUUUGUAUAAUUAAAAUUUUAUUGUGCAUUAAAGUGGGACUCUGUGUUAAAUUUAUAAUAAGUUCAUACAGUUAUAACUCAUAAAGGCACUUGAUUAAGGAAUACAUUCUUUUGAUACUUGGAAUAGAGUGUUCAUCUGUUGGGAUAUAGCCGCUAGCUAUGAUCAAAGUAUAGUCCAUUUACAGUUUAAGUAUUUUUUCUUGUAUAAAGGCUUUAAUAACUAUUCUUAUUUGAAAAAGUACAUAUUUUGAUUUUUUGCACAUAUGUGGAUAAAGUUAUCUUUUGUAUAAUUAAAAUUUUAUUGUGCAUAAAAGUGGGACUCUGUGUUAAAUUUAUAAUAAGUUCAUACAGUUAUAACUUAUAAAGACACUUGAUUAAGGAAUACAUUCUUUUGAUACUUGGAAGGGAGUGUUCAUCUGUUGGGAUAUAGUCGCUAUGAUCAAAGUAUUGUAAUUCAUUGGUCGAGUGGGAGGUUUUUACUGUAUAAUUUAGUAGGUAAUUAAUAAAAUUUUGUAUCGCCUGUACAGUAAUAAAUAUAUUACUAGACCAAGGGAGAGAAUAUUGGAUGUGGCCCACGUGAUUUAUUCAAGACGAUCUAUAACAAUACAAUCGAUCUAUUCAAGGCGAUCUAUGAAGAUAUGGUCGAUUCAACAGUUAGGAUGUAUUUGGACACAUUCUUAAUAGACGGAUGUGAUUUAACAUUUUUAUAUUAAGUUGUAUAUAAAUAUGUGUAAUAUAUGAGAGUCCCGCUCUAACACUAAUUCUAAUUUCUUGUGAUGUCUCCAUCUUCGGGGAUAAGUGAAUGGGCGUGAUUUAACGUUCCACUCUCUUGUAAAUCAUGAAUGAGGACGAACCACAAGUAAGAAUCGCCGUCUCUCUUAUAGAUCAUGAACGAGGACGAACCACAAACAAGAAUAGUCGUCUACAAUCCGGGUUUGAAAAUCGAAAUUAUGACAGAAAAUAUGAUUUAAUUUUUCAUAAAGUUUAACAAUAGAAACUAGGAACCGAAGCAUCACAACCUUUGGAAGUUGAAGUGUCAUGAGCAACUCAAAAAAUUUCUAAUAAUAAAUAUAGACAGCAAAUUGAAGAAAAAUUGCUUAGCUUUUUAAAAUCUCUAAAAGCAAUAAAUGGUAGGUUUUUAUUUUUAAUAAUGGCAAUUGGUCUAUGAAUAGUAAGGGGACUUAGUUUUUUUUCAAAUCCCAAACUUUAAGAAUAUUGUAUACUAUUGUAGUGACCCAUACGUUACAGCGGAUAGAUACUAUUAAAAUAAAAAUUUGUAAAGAAUAAAAUAUUAGUUUAGUAUAAAAAAUAGUAAAUCUAGUCUAUAUUAUAGACAAAUACUUUUAAAAAAUAAAACUAUAAUGAAAAAGAAUUUAAUCGUUUCAACAAAACUAUUCAACAUUAUUUAAGAAAAGCUGCAUAUCAUACAAAUAAAUGAAUAAAAUUAUUUCUAUAACAUAAUUAACGAAUGAGAAAAAAAAAUUAGAAAAAAAAGUAGGCCCUAUUCUUCUUCAAAUUAAGGGGGUGGAUAUACGUAGUAUUUAGCCAUGGAGAUUAAUGUAUAAGUAUAAAUAUAAUCUUUCAUUUUUUCAAAUGUAUAAGUAUAAGUAUUUUUUUAUUGCAACUUAGUUUUAGAAUGAGUAAGUCCGUUCGGAACGAGCAAGCUUGCCUAUUUUCAAGAAGGAAGACGGACGCCGCACGAAUUUUUGCGAGUCAAAGGUAUAAGUCUGUGACACUUUGCUCUCGCUAGGUAAGUAUCAAAUGUUUGGUUUCAUAAAUUCUCAUGGUCCAUUCUGUUAGUUUAUUUUAGGGGUGGCAAAGUAUAACUCUACUUAAUUGUGCCUGAACCAAAAGAAAUAACUAAAUUUUGAUAAAAAAAAAAAAAUUCCGACUGAAAAUUCGGAGCAAGAUUAUUUGAAUUAACCUGAUCAACGAUACAGCUUAAUUUAUACUAAUAGCUUAAAAAUCGGUAUCAGCACAAAUACCGAUUCCAACAAUUAAUAUUAGAGCAAGUGGCAAAGGAUUUGGUGGUUAGUAUCCGAGGUCCUAAGUUUGAAUCCUAGUUGAUUCACAUGUCAGGCUAAGUUUAUUUCUAAAUGAAAUAAACGAAGCGAAUAUAGCGUACUAUCUAUCUCUCAAAAAAAAUAAUAAUUAAUAUCAGAGCAAAUCACGCUUCCAACACGGUUGAAUUUGAAAACAAGGAAUGCUUAUUAAUAAUUCAAACCAUUGUCGGACCAAUUUUGAUCUCGACCUAAAUUUUUGCUUAUUAUAUUCCCAGUGAGAAUGGAAAUGUGGGCAUAUCUCUUUUAAUAUAAAUUGGAGGACUAGAUUGAUUCCCCUUCCACCGUAGAAUAGGAUUUAGAAUGAGACUCCUAAACCAAACAAUUGAAUUGGGAUGCACUCAUUUUACUUUUUCAUUUAAGUCCAAAACUUUCUAUCAAAGCAUGCUCUGGCGCCAACUUAGAAUGAGCUUCAAUUGCAAAUAACAUGUUACUGAAUAAUAUUGAUAUAAGCAGUACUGCUAUAGGUCCUCAGAAUAGUGUCUUUGUCUUUAUAGGCUGCUGAUGUAUUGGUAUUCAUAAUGUGGAGUUUUUUUUAUUGUCGCAUGCUCAAGCUGUUUACAAAUAUCAUAUUCAUUUGCCAAUACAUUAAUUUAUUUUUUUUUAAAAUAAAGAACCUUGAAUAGGAAGCAACUCAUUUACCCUUGUCGGCCCUCUUCUAAUAAAUUCAUUGUCAAAUACAACGCUGAGAUUCAGGUGGAAAAUUUUUAUAUUAGAAUAAAUCUUUUAGAUUCAGGUGGAGGGGGUGAAUCAUAUAACUUAUCAAACUGUCUUAAUAAUAUUUCGUUAAGAAGUUUCUUGGUGAAGUCGUAGCGUACGAAAAAAAAAAAAAAAAAAAAAAAAGAUUCCGAAAGUUCCGAAGCAUCUCCAUUGAUAAAAAGAGUGUGAAGACCUUUUGGAUGUGCUUAAGCUAUAAUCUUCUUUGAAUGCAAAAAAGGAGAAGGAACAGUGGAACAAAAAAAAAAAAAGAAAAAAAAAGAAAAAGAAAAAGAAAAACCUCUUUGUGGUGAGCUGUACAUGAAAAGAGAUUCAAUUGGGUGAGAAUUGAAAACAGGGAAUGUGGGUGGACGUAGGCAUCACAAGGCAUCAGAUUCUUCGCCGCACCUAACUAUUUUUAUUUUUAUUUUUAUUUUUAUUUUUAUUUUCCAUGUGCACCAUGUCUCUUCUCGCAUAUGUACACGUACUAUUUGAGUCAAAUACAAAGGUUUAGCCGUUUAGGUUCAAUGUUCAAAACAAAAUUUGGAACAUUAGCCUCUUGUUUCCUUUUUUUAUAUUAUAUAUCUCUGUUCUAUUAAUUACUUUAUGCGGGAUUCACGUACUAUGAAGAUCAAUCGAAUGUACCAUUUUUAGAAUGUACGUACCUAUUAAUUGUUAGUUUAUAAAACAUAUAAUAGAGUAAACUUUAGAAAAAGACUCUGUGAUAUAACACAUUUUUAAAGUGUUUUUUAAAGAUUUGUUUCUAUGACUUAGGUGUUCUAAGUUUGCCAUUUGGAUUCUCUAUGAGAAUUUUAAAGACCUCAUUUAGAAUUAAGGGUUGCCUAACACUUUUGGAUCAUAAUAAGUUGGAGUUUAGUGUCACGUAGAAAAUAUAUCUUAAAACUAGUUAUCUUAGCACCAUAUUAUUAUUAUUCUUACUAUUUUUUGGCUAAUUUGCAUAAAAGAUUUAUUAGUUUUGAACUUUUGCAAAAUUAGGCCGCCAUUUUGGAUUUUGUAGAUUCAGACCGGAUAUUCAGAAAAUUAACCAAAAUACUCUUAUUCCCUUUUCUAUCAUCUUUUUUUUUUUUUUUUUUUUUUUUUUUUUUUUUUUUUCUCUCGUUCUUUUUUUUUCUUUCUCUCCAAAGAGGAUGGCGUACGUGGAGGCGACCCACCUCACCUCUGUCCCGCAUCCCCUUGCCCUCGUCCGCACACCCUCCCUCUGCCUUUCUCGCCUCCGACCCCGCCGAAGCUGUGCUGCGACCCUUUUUUUUAUUUUUUUUCUUUUCUUUUCUUUCCAACCCUCUUUCACCGCCUUCCCAACUCUUUACAACAGUAAAGAGGGCAGCAUCAUUUUCUCUUGAUCUUUUUUUUUCCUCUUCGACCUCCUUACCACCUCCGCGACCCUCUACGAUGGUAAUGAGGACAACGUCGCAUCCUCUUCCUUUGCCUUCGCCGACGCAGGCACCGACACCGGUGCCGGAGAAGGAGGACUCAUAGCAAGUGCGGAUGAGCGUAGAGCGAAGGAAAAAAGAUACAUAAAAUAAAAAAAAUAAAAAGAAUAAAUAAUAAAAUAUAAAGAAAAAUAUUUUUUCUAUAAGAAAAAUAAAAAACAAAGAGAAAAGAAGAAGAUGAUGAAGUUGUACUAUUUCAGAGGAACAUUGCACUGUUUUAGAGAGAACUUAUGCUCUUUAAAAGAAAAAUUAUACUUUUUUUGUAUGAAAGUUGCACUUUUUGAACGAAAGUUGCGCUAUUUGAAAAAAAAUUACACUAUUUCUCCUUCUCCUUUUUCUUCUCUUUUCUCUUCGUUUUCGUGUGUUUCUUCUUUGCUCAUCUCUUCUUCAUCUUCCACCUUCGUCACUUUCGUCGGCAGAUCCUUCGCACAUCUCUCUCCGUACAUUUUUUUUUUCCCUCUCCGGGGUGGAAGGAGGAUUGGAGAGAAAAAAAAAAGAGGGUUGCGGCAUGGAUUCGACGGGGUUGGAGGCAAGGAGGGAGGGGGGUGCAUAGGCACGAGUGAGAGAGUGCGAGGCAGAGGCAAGGGUAGAGAAUCUGCUGACAGAAAUGGAGGGCGAAAAAGAGAUGGGCAUAGAAGAGAACGCACGAAAACGAAUAGGAAAGAGAAGAAACAGUAUAAUUUUUCUCCAAAAAGUGCAACUUUCGUUCAAAGAGUGUAAUUUUUAUCCAAAAAAGUGUAAUUUUUGUCUCAAAAAAUAUAAAUUUUCUCUAAAAUAGUGCAAUAUUCCCCUGAAAAGGUGCAACGUUCUUCUGAAAUAGUGCAACCUCAUCAUCUUCUUCUUUUUUCCUUUGGUUCUUUAUUUUUUUUUUGCAGAAAAAGUAUUUUUAUUUAUGUUUUAUUCUUUAUUUUUUAAUUUUUUUAUUUUCUCGAUCUUUUUUUUCUCGGCUCUGGUCUUAUCUGCACUCACUUUGAGUCUUCCUUCUCCAGUACCGGCAUUGGUGUCUGCACCAGCGAAGGUGGAGGAAGAGGAUGUGACUGUUCUCGUUACCGUCGUGGAGAAUCGCGAAGGCGAUAGGGGGAGGCCGAAGAGGGAAAAAAAAGGAGAGAGAAAAAAUGAGAGGAAGUGGACGUGAUGCUGUCAUCUUUACUAUUAUAAAGAGCCGGGGAGGCGGUAGUGGAGGGUCGGAGAGAAAAAAAAAAGAAGAGGAUCGUGGUGCGACAUCGACGGGGUUGCAGGCGAGAAAGGCGAAUGGAGGGUGUGCGGGCACAGACGAGGGUGAGGGCAAGGGGGCAUGGGACAGAGGCGAGGCGCGCGGGCUGCCUUUGCCUCCGGUGCCCUCUUCGGAGAGAAAGAAAAAAAAAACAACAGAAAAAAAUGAGAGAGAAAAGGGAAUAAGGGUAUUUUGGUCAGUUUUCUGAAAAUCCAGCCCGAAUCUGCAAAAUCUAAAAAAGUGGCAUAUUUUUGCAAAAGUUCAAAACUAAUGAAUUUUUUAUAUAAAUUAGCCUUAUUUUUAUAACAGAAGCAAAAUUUUUCUAUUGUAUUUUCUCAUUGUAAAUAACAUGUAUUGCUUGUUACCCUAAAUGAAAUCUUAGCUUUAUUAGAAUUUUGGCUUGAACUGGUUUUAGAUUUGCAUAAGUAAAUGGAUUUGGAUUAUGAUUGAGUCAAAUUUUAAAUCUAAACUUGAGCCUAAGAACCCUUAUUAGAUUUGGGUUUUCUUUUCGGAUUUGUGGUUGUGUUUGGAUGAAACUGAAAUGAACAAACAGAAUCAUAAGGAGGGCGCCAUGCGUCCCUUUUUGUUUCUCUUGUAGUGUUAACUUACGUGAUGAAAUGCUUUGCAGGUGCAAAACUUUUGUUUUUUUUUUUCUCAGCAAAAAUGUACGGAAAUUAUCUAAAGCUAAUUACUUACUUUAAUGAAUUUAUAAUCACGAGAAUUGCAUAAAAAUACUAAUUAAACAUAUAAAGAUAAAUGACGCAUUUAAUUUAUGAAGUCAAAAGUGUCAUUGACUGACUACGAAUUAAAAGGUUGGUCAGUGAAAUUAAAAUUUUGAAAGAUUUGAUAGAAAAAUCAAAAUAAUUCAUAUAGACAAGCUCUCUACGUUUUUACUAUUUUUUUUUUAGAGAGAAAGAUAGCAAGCUACUUGUUUUAUUUAUUUUAUAUAAAAUAUAAACUUAGCUAGAAAUGUGAAGUAAUUAACUAAAGUUCGAGCUUGAAAUCUCAGGUACCAAUUAUCGAGCCCUUAGCCAACUUUAUUGGAUAAAGUCGGUCUUGUUUUUGCGAGAGAGAGAGAGAGAAAGGUUGCAUACUAUUUGCUCUAUUUAUUUUUUUAAAAAAAUAACUUUAGUCGAAAAUAUAAAGUAAUUAGGUUUCGAAUUUGCUAUCUCAGGUAUCAAUCAUUAAGUCAAAUAAAACUGUUAAAUUACGAUUUAGGAGGGCAGGUUUAGGGGUGGAAACGAGCCGAGCUCGAGCGAGCUUAUUUCGGCUCAAAUUCGGCUUGAAAUUAAUUUCGAGCCUAAAUUUAAGCUCAAGCUUGGUUUGAAAUUAAUUCGAGCCGAGCUCGAGCGAGCCUAAUUUCAAGUCAAGCGAGCUCGAGCCCUAAAUGAGCCGCUUGAAAUUCUCAACCUCGUACGAUUAAUAUAUAGUUUAAUUUGUAUAGAACAUUAUCUGCAAUUUGAUACAAAAAUAUGUCUAAUAGUUCAAAGUAUAACGUAAUUACAUGAAAUAUGAUAUUAUAAUAUGAAGAAAAAUAACUUAUGAGUUGAAUGUCUAAUCUUUUUGGCCUCACAUGUUAUCUCUUCCACCUUCAAUCUCUAUAUUAUUAAUUUUUAUAUAUUUUCUUAAACACACAAUUAAUGGCAAAGUAGGCAACGGCGGGUACGUGGUGUUACUUGGUAAUUUGGGGGGCUUCAGGCUUGGCUUGGGGUGAGUAGAGAGAGAGAGAGAGAGAGAGAUUAGAAAUUUAGAGCUCCGCGCAAGAAAGAAAGGGAGAAAGUAUAAAAUUUAGUGAAAUUUUGCGCUUUUGUUUAUCUAUUAGGUUUGUUUUUAUGAACCAACAAUAUUGGCUCAAUUUUAACUCAACUCAUAUUACUAAUUCAGCCUAUAUAUAAUUAAAAUAUAUUAUAUUUAUAUAUUUUUUAAUAUAUAUAUAUAUAUAUAUAUNAUAUUUUUUAAUAUAUAUAUAUUCGAGCUUUUCGAGCCUAAUUCGAGCAAGCCGAGUAACAUUCAAGUUAGGCUUGAAAUGAAUUUCGAGCUUUUUCUUUUGUUCAAGCUCGGCUCAUUUAAUUUCGAGUCGAGCUUGAGCGAGCCGAAUAUUGAGCCGAACACGAGUCGAACGUGAGCCGGCUCGCUCGUUUGCCAGCCCUAGGCAGGUUUGGUUUGUGCCAGUUUGAUUUUGAUAGGAGCAUAUAUUGGGUCUCAAAACAGGCCAAGCAUCUUUUUAUUCCUUAGAAAUCUGAGUUCAAGACAAUAAUCAAAAUCAAUUUAGUCAAGAUAGAUGGCCUAGACAUCAAAAUUUUUUGACUUUGCAAGGGAACGUUUGGAGGGUGCUAAAAUGACCGAAAUACCCACUGCCGGCCCUGGUAUAGUGCUAAAAUGACCAAAAUACCCUUAUAUUUGAUGCUAUGCGAGGAGCAUCAAAUAAAAGUCUAAAAUGCAGUAGUUAUAUUGCUGAUAUAGUAUUUCCAACCAAUCAAAUAGUUUUACUGAAAUACACCUAUCCUAUCAUAUUUUUUAAAAAAAUAUUUUUAUUGUACUUUUCUUUUAAAAAAGAAAUAUAAUUGGCUGAAUAUAUAUAUAUAUAUAUAUAUAUAUAUAUAUAUAUAGAUGAUGUGGUAUAAUUGCCACAUAUCAAAGGACAAAAAAAUUGAGAAGAGAGGAAGAGAGAGGGAGAGAAUGGGAGGAGAGUAAGCAGAGAAGAUGAAUACAAGUGUCGUUCUUCAAAAGCUUAAGCUAUUGAAGCUUUAUAUUUAAGAUUUUUUUUUUUCAUAUUUUGAUUUGAAACUUUUAUUUUUAAUAUUUAUGUUCGAAUCCCCCUAAUGUCAGAGCUAUAGAGAGUUUGAAUACAGGAUCUCUCCUUCUUCUUCUUCUUCUUCUUCUUCUUCUUCUUUUUGGGAUAAGCUCAAGUUGUGAGCUUGAGUAAAAUUGAAGAAAAUUAAAUAAGACAAGAGGUCUAUGAAAAAUUGAAGGAUCACUUAUUUUAACAUGUUCUGAUAUCAUGAUAAAAUAUUAUGAAAUAAUUAUUUGUCUUCAAAAUAUUAAACUAUCAGAUAAUGAUAUUUCUUAAUAUUUAUAUUCAAUAAGAGAAAGAAAGAAAAAUAAGUGAUCCUAACAUGUUCUGAUAUCAUGAUAAAAUAUUAUGAAAUAAUUAUUUGUCUUCAAAAUAUUAAACUAUCAGAUAAUGAUAUUUCUUAAUAUUUAUAUUCAAUAAGAGAAAGAAAGAAAAAUAGGAGAGAGGAAGAGAGAAGGAGAGAGAGAUCGGAGAUUCACGAGGGGAAAAGAAAUUGUACAGUAGUAUUGCCUCUAUAUAUAUACACUUGCUAUCCAUUUCCUCCUUAAGUAUAUGUGCAUUUACUUAACAACACAUUUUAAUCUCUUACUGUACAUUUUCAUAUGUAUGUUAUCUCAAAUUGUAAACUCCAUUAUAUAAAGAUGUAGGAUGCAAAGGUACGUCUCGAAUAUAUCAUAAUUAAGCAAUUUAACUAGUGCAUUUUUUACCAUUCAAUUUCAUCACCCACAAAGAUAUAUAUAAGUUAACCCCAUGAAGAAAUUUUUCCUCUCAUUUAAAGCUUGAAAGCAACAUCUAUUGUCAUCAAUUGAACUAUUUAAUUCUAUUCGCUGGUCCCUAUUAGCUUAAUUUUAAGCAAAAGAGUACGUACUCGAAAGAUUGAUUUAAUAGAAACAAGUUUAAUAAUAUAUUGAACACUUUUGCUUACUUAUCGUGUGUGAUACACAUGAACAACUCUGAUGUCAUAUUAUCCAACAGAUCGAAUUGAUAAGAAAUGCGUCCGCAGAAUUAUCUAACAAUUAUCAACUAGCCUAAGUUGGCAGCUGGUUUUGGCCAAUUAGUGAGGUACAACUAUGCCAGGGCUAUGGACAAAUUGUGACUUAAUGGCUUGUUUCUCCAUAACAUGGUGAUGGUCCACACUUUUCCCAUGCAUAACCCACAUGGUUACAAUAUUAAGAAGAGGACAUCUCAACGAAUUAAAUGCACUUGGGUACUUUUGUUCCCAUCCAUAGAUGAGGAGCUACAAAGGAUAUAUAUAUAUAUAUAUAUAUAUAUAUAUAUAUAUAGGCAAUGCACUGGGAAUCUCCAUUUAUAAAGAGCCAUUAUGAGGAAAAGGAGAAUAUGUUGUCCUUUUAUGGUGGGGAUCCAUGAAUAUAUAUGUUUCUUCAACAUGAUUAUUGUAGGCCUUUCUGUUUUAUUUGGUUCUAGGAUUAGGUUAUCAUAUAUUAAUCUAGGUAUAAUAAUUAAUAUGAAGUGGCACUAAUAUUUGGGGUUCUAAAUUUUAUUUACACUUGGAUAAAUGCAUGAAAUAAUAGUAUACUUAUGAUCUUUUGAGAUAACCAAUUGUGUUUAGCCUAUUGAUGUCACGCCCCGAAUUCCUCGCUUCUCCAGGCACGCUAAUAGAUCCGCCGUAUACAUAGGAGUUUUUUCUGUAUACGAAGCGAAGCUGUACAUGUACCUGUAAUCAUACAACACUACAACCAGUAGUAUAGAGCUGCUAGAAAGGAAUAAAACAUCUACAACAACAGUGAUUCAAUACAUACAUAGUAUCCGGGUACAAAACACUCACUCUAGCGAGGUACAAUAUUAGUAUGUGAAGAACCAAAAACUACAACUACCAAUAGCUGGUACUCCUCUAGCUCUGCAACUCGGCAAGAAGGGCUCUAGCUCGCAACACCCUCACCGCGAUCAGAAUCAGCAGUAGCAGCAGCCGCAACCGAAGAUUCUGCAAAAGAGGGGAAGCAACUGGGCGUGAGAACUACUGCAAAAACAAGUAGUCCUCAGUGGGUAGCGCCCUCAAACUCAUCGGCUCACCCACCAAGUCUACAGAAGGUAUGCUCAAAGAUAGUAAAGGAACUGGAAACAACCACAGCUGUAUGCUACUAUACUAUCAUGAUCCAAAUACUAACUAUCUGUAAAAUAAAGCAGACUCUGACCCAAUCUCACUAGGGAUUGUGAAUACACCCGUCCUAGGGACUGUGAAUACACCCGUCCUAGGGACUGUGAAUACACCCGUCCCGCCUGUCGAAGCUAUAUAGCUAACUCCACGCUCAGCAGCCCGUGGAUAGCAAGUCCAACCAGGACACAACGACACCAACGCAAACGCACAAACCCCGACUCCGGAGUGGUACUCGUGAGCGCUACCCAACUGAGUAUGCAAGCGUAUCUCUGUCGAACUCAAUCAGGCUCUCACAGGCUAAGAUCCAAGUAAACAGGGUCCAACUGGUUUAACAACCAAACUCACGUACCAUCGGUACAAUCUGAUACAAAAAGAGUAAUCUGGGUCCACCGUCAACCUCAACGGCACCUGACAGUCCGGAACAGCCUAAACACUGCUGUAAAAAUAAGCUCGAUAUUCUAGCAUGAGCGUAAAUAUAUUCUACACUAUCCUGAGUAUCCACAGCUCACAAACUACGGUGAUACCAACAAACUACGGCUCUUAGAGCAAAAUCUGGUAGUUUUAACAUAUGACAGUGUAGAAUCUCUGGUUUUCUCCUAAGUCAAUUCCAAGUCCAACAUGUAUAAUUUAUCUACCUCACUACAGCAUGCUCCAAAUUCAUAUUUCGUUUAACAUGCUAAUCGAUGAAUUCGAGCUAAAAACAUGAUAUACAAAGGCUGAAAAUAUACAUGUUGACUAUGUAUACACUUAGGAGGAGAAUUCGAUGAUUAAACCACCUCUAGCGCUCAGUCCACGGCAGCGAGAGGUCGCCGGAAAAACCUUGCUAAGCUCGGCCACAAUCAGCACACUCCUCUCCAAAAAUCUAAACGUAAAAUACCACUAAUUCCAUCAAUACCUCAAAAUUCAGCAUUAAAGCUUAAUUUCACCUCAAUCACAAUGUCAACUUCACCUUCCAAUCUUCAAAUCAGGUGAGAAAGGGUCCCAAUUCCAGUAGACCGAGUUGGAGUAUCACCCUCUGGUCCAAAACCGAGCUUCCUUCAAAGAUUGCACCAAGAAAACCCACAAAUUCACAGAUUCAGUUGAAAAACACCAGCAGCACAGUAAAAAGCCAAAUUGACCAAGCUAACCUCAACCAAAAUCUGUCAAAUUCGGCUCCAUGAAUUUCUCUUGAAGUCCAAAAUCCACCAAACCAAGUUUCGUGGCAAACGGAGCUUCUUACGUCGCACACGAGCCAAAACGUCGAAGGUCGCUGCUGGAAUUCUGCUGAAACUGCAGUCUUCAAGGUGGAAAGUGUGCAAUUUGGAGAAAUUUGGAGUAAUUUGAGGGAUUGCAAUGCAAAUUGGCCUUCACUGUGAAGAGGAGAUGAAAAGAGUUCACCAGGGUCGAGUUCCAUCUAUUUAUAGAGAGUUAGAGUGGUCAAAUAAGUUCCAGGAACAAAAGCUGCUAACCUGAGAUCUCAGCAGAAACAACCACUUUCGGGCGCCCAGAACCCCUUUCUGGGCAUCCGAAACCUCCAGGCUACACAAUUGCUCCCCUUCGGUUCCUCCGCCCGCGGUGUGCUGCAGCCAUAUCCUGGUUCGGCGGAUCUCACCUACCACAAGCCAUGUCACGCCCCGAUUUUCACCAAUUUGGUCGGGUUCGGGCCACAUCAACAGACGCCGAACGGACAGAGCCUCCCCUGUCCGCCCAAGGCUUUAGCAACAAGUAUAAUAAAGCAAUUCAACAAAGAGAUUUGCAAUUAUACAAGGCUUGCACGAGGGCAAGCAACAACGGAAGCGAAAGCUCUAUACUAAAACAUACAAUCAUACAUGAUAUUUAAUUAAAUUUAAACAAAAUACAAGUAAACUACAACUAUUACAUUCUUUUUUUAUUUACUCACAAAUUCUUUUACAUGCUUGUCAUUCUCCUAAAAUACAUGAUUGUUUACAACUUUACAAUUCUGAAUCAACAAAAGAAAGUUGAUACAUGAACCAAAAAGGGAAUGACUAAAAUGCAUAACUCCGGUAGCCACUAGUUAUGGCGCGAUACCCUUGCCUCGAUCCUCCGCCGCCCCGCUCGCGCUCGGAUCUGUAGGGUUAGUGGUGUGAGAACUACAACGAAGUUCCCAAUGGGUUCGGCAACUGACCUCGCCGACUUACUCACUAGGUCUAUUCAGGUAUAAGUAUUUCAAAGGAAAGAAAAAUUAGCCAAUACUAAUGCUAAUACUAUACCUGCAAGAAAGUUGUCAGUAGAUAUAUAUAAUCAAAUAUGAAUGACUAUGCAUGCAUGCUCUUUUCAUAAGUAUACUUUGGCUUUUAUCCAAUCUUACCGGUUAACCUUGUUAACCCUAAUAGCUUACAACCCAAAAUUUCUUUCAUUCGGGGAGGUUCUAAGCACUACAAGACCCGAGGAACUGUCUUCGGGGACCACGCCCCCUGUGGUGACAAUUUCGGAACGCACCGCUUGAGGGGGAGCUACCAAGCUCAAGCCAGAACUUAUCGUGAGUAUCGAUCCAAUUCCCACUUAGAAAAAAUAUAGCCACUAGCCACAAUGCCACUAUCAUAAUAGGUUUCUACCUAUUUGUUCAUGUCACUUUUUAAGUCAUUUUUGCCAUAAGGCCACUAGUAGUUAAAGCUUGUUUAACGAUUCAUGUCUCGAUGCCAAUCAUGUCUCUAAUGUCAAUGUCAUCUUUAUUUACUAUUGUCUUGGUUCAAGUCUCACAUUCAUACAAUUUUUAGGGUUCUACCAUACAUGUCCAUUAUGAUUCAAUCAUUCUCUAUGUCCAACUAUAUUAGAAGCAUAUAAAUGAUGUCUAACCAAGUUUCACAUGUAAAAUUACCCUAUCAUGCAUGAAUGAUUCUAUAUACAAGUAUGCUCAAUAAAGGUGAAAAUAGACAUAAAGGAGAAUCCGAUGAAUCCGGCGUGCACCCCCCACCUUGAAUAGUGUAGAAGGGUUGUAAUUCGACUCUCGCGAUUUUAGGACGCCUAUCCCGUGACCUAAACCCAAAAAUAAAGCCAAAUUAGGCCCUACAUACAAGAUCUCUUACUUAGACUUUUCGUAACGUCAAACGGAGUUGUCCCACGCGUCAGGAAUACCCCUAAUUAGGUUUCCAAGAGGUCAAUUUACCUCGAAAACAAACGGAGGCAAAACCCCAAAAUUCAUGCCCUAAUAAUGUCAUAUAGAGAUUUCGCCUAGAUUGAUCUCAUUCUUAAGCAAAAGCUAGCUUAGAAUCAACUAGAAAGCAUUCUAAUACCAUUUCCAAGCCUUUCCAAACAUCCCUAGGGCAUCUACUAUGAACCCUAGUUAACCACCAUGAGAGGAUCUUGAAUUUCCAUGGUUUUCAUAGUACUCAAGCCUCAAAAGAGUUUCUAAAGCUAGAAACAAACUCAAAACUCUAAAACUUAGGGUUAAAUCCAAACCCUAGAUGGGCUUUACUCUAAAACUUACUUUAGCCCAAGCUCUCCCAAGUCCUUCUAGUUGGAGAGCUUCAAGAUCCUCCAAAGCCACCAAAAUUCACUCCAAAGCUUCUUCUCCACCAACUCCUUGCCCUAGAGUAAGAUCUCUAGAAAGAGAAAGAGAGGAAUGAGAGAGGGAGAGGGUUAGGGCUGUUGGCUGUGAAGGGGAGAAGUGUUGGGGUAUUAACAUGUUGUGACAUUUGCAACUAAGCCCCUCCCAAAUAUCCCUAUUUGCAACAGACCUUAUUGUUGCUGCCAGACCAAAGUGUACCGGUACACGGGAUUUUGUACCGGUACAACUCUGCGCAGAGGCCAAACCCGAGAGCAACUCUCUCGGUUACGCGGGAUUUGUACCGGUACAUUUUCAAAGUGUACCGGUACACUUCCAAUUUUUCUCAAACCCGAGAGCUUCUCCCUCUCGGCCUACAAUGCUGUACCGAUUAUAACUCGAUGGUUGUACCGGUACACUUGCUCAAGAAUGCUGGUUUUGCGCCGUUUUUUAUUCUAUUUCGCACCGAUCGAUACUAAAACCUUUUUAACACCUUUUAAACGCAUUUUUAGCCCUUCCAAUAUUGUUGGAAUGCUAAUGGGACUUGUCCAUCCAUUUCUCUCGACAACUUUAACCAAUUUGGAUAAAGUUCGAUAAUUUCUUUCGGAUUUCGAUAUGUUACAAGCCACGUGUCAACGCAAACGAUAUUCUCAAGGUAAAUUUUCGGACCCACAUCUGGGCGCCCGAAAUAUAGGAUCCAAAUGGGCUUCCAGUUCUGUUUAGACCAGCACUCAAGUUCUGGGCGACCCAAAUCCAGUUCUGGGUGCCCGAAUCUAGCAAAACUCCAAUUUUGCUUAUUUGAGUGUGCCGAGUCCAUUUCUACAUCCAUUACGUGUAGAAACGACUCCGACUCAGUCCGACACUCUCCAGAUGUGUCGACCAGUCACUAAUACUGUAGCGAAUCCUAUCCAAACCUCCGGAACACUACAAUUGAUAUUACUGAAUGAUUGUAAUACGAAGUACCAAGCAUUUCUAGCUAGCAAAAUAGAGAACAAAUUGUGAUUGAUGUAGAAUCAUUGGCACUAAUCAUUAGCUUCAAAAGUUCGUGCCGUUAGAAAUAUAUAAUUAAUUUACUUAAAGCAAAUGGACACACCACCCACGUGCGGGUCUCGAUUGUGAUUCGGCCUAAUCAACCUAACUCUCGUCAUUUCGAACAUGAUUCAGUUCAACCCGACCUUCUGCCAUUUCAAACGCAACUCGGCCCAACCUGGUCUCUCGCCACACGGCAGGAUACUGACUCCUUUAAGUCAAUAAUUGACAUAUGUGAAGUGCAUUAAAUUGACAAUCCAUCUACUAGGUUUACUUUAAUUUAUGAAAAUGGUAAGCUUAUGAAUAUUCUAGAAUAACGUCGGUUGUAUAUUUACAACACUUCAAAACUGCAUGGUAUUUCUGUGUGAGUUAGUACAUCAGCUCCAUAAAUAAUAUUUUAUAUUAGUAUUUUUAAUUUAUAUUCACUGUCAGGAGUAAAUAAAAGUAGAAUCUAAAUGAAAAGAAUACUAUGAAAAAAUUGUUUACACAGAUUACAGAUUGGGGAGCUUAACAAGAUGUAUAUUGGAGUCAAUCGCUUUAUCCUACAUUCAGCAAAGAAAUGAGCACAGUAUUAUCUUUUUGGGUAAAAUUGCAAGUUGAUCCUCAAAUUAUGAGUUGCAUAACAUUUUAGUCCUCAAACUUUAAUUUGUUUUAAUUUUUGACUCAAACUUUUGGAAUCAUUACAAUCAAGUCUCAUGAUCUAAUCUAAUUGGUUAAAUAUUGUCGUAUUGUUGAUGUAAAAGUAAUGUAACUUCUUAAUGUAUUAUUAGCGCAUCAUCAAUUCCAAUACUGCUAGCGUUAACGAUACGUUAAUUUUUGUCAACUAAAUUGAUUUACAUGACUUGAUUGUAAUAAUCAUGAAUAUUCGAGUUAGAAAACAUAACGAAUUAAAGUUUGAGAACUAACGUGUCACUCACCUCAUAGUUAAUUUAAGGACCAAAUAUGCAAUUUGCCUUUUUUUUAAAAUAAAUAUAUUGGGCAACAUGAUGGUUUUUGGUACUUUCAAUACACUUAAUGUCUCUUAAAUUUCUAUAAAUAUACUAAAUUAGUCCAUUUUCUGAUCGAGCAUUGAUUUUACUGAUAAAAAAAUAGUAUAUGUGAAUGCCGAGUAAACAAUUUUCAAACCAAAGUGUGUACCAAAUUAAGACACGAGUAUAGUAAAAAAUUUUAGAGUAAAAUUUAUUUCAACUGUCACGCCCCGGAUUACACGUUUCCCGGGCACGCCGACAAAUCCGCCGUAUAUAAAAAAAAUUUUCUUGUAUACGAAGCGAUAGCUGUACCUGUAAAUCAUACAAUACUACAAACAGUAGUAUAGAACUGCUAGAAGAAUGAGUAAUAAAACAAACCAAGUUCCAUAUACAUAUGCCAAAUCCAAGAUGCAAAACUACUCGCACUGGCGAGUUAAACGUCUAUAUGUACAUGAACUCCAACAAAAAACAACUACCUGCUGUAGGGUCACCUCUAGCUCGGCUCGUCGGAUAAGGCUCUAACUCGCGACACCCUUGUCUCGAUCCUGAUCAGCAACUGCAGCAGCCGAAGACGAUGGCUCUGCAAAAACGGGGUAACAACAGGGAACUACUGUAAAAAUAAAUAGUCAUCAGUGGGUGCCGCCUUCAACAUCAUCGGUCCACCUACUAAGUCUACAGAAAGGAACAAAGAUAGUAAUAAAUGCUGGAAUGAAAUCUACAGCUACCAUUUAUUACACUAAUAUGCUCUAAUCUGACCUACUGUAGUAAUGUCGAUCCUGACCCAAUCUCUUUAGGGACUGUAAACAUACCGAUCCGAGAGACUGUGAACACACCCGUCCCGCCCAGUUGAGACUAUCUAGCUACCUUCACACUAACCAGUUCGUGGAGAGCAAGUCUAACCGGCAUAAACGAUACCAAUGCGAAAGCACAUAACGCCCGUCUCUGGAGUGGCACUCGUGGGAGCUACCCAACCGAGUAUGCAGCGUAUCUCUGUCGAGCUCAAUCAGGCUCUCUCAAGUCAAAGUCCAAGUAACUGACACUAACUGAUUUAACAACCAACAGGUCACGUGCUCUCGGCACAAUCCGCCGCCAAAAAGGCGAUAUGGGUCCACCGUCAACCCGACGGCACCCAACAGUCCGAAACAGUCUGAACGCUACUAUAAAAAUUCAUCCGGCAUUCCAGCACGAGCGUAACUGAAAGCUAAAUUAUCUGGGGUAUCCGUCGCCUCGAUACUGCGACGAUACAAAAUUACAACGGCUCAUAGAGCUAAAUCAGGUAGUGUAAACAGGUGACAGAUCCAAAUCGCUGGUUUUCUCCUAAGUCAAUUUUCAAGUCCAACAUGUAUAUUUAUGGUUUACUAAUCAUGUCCUCAAUGCUGAUUUCAUCCAUGAUACAAUCAACGCAAUUGAGCUACAACAUGAUUUACAAAAACUGAAAAUCAUACAUAUGGACUAAUACUGUGCUUAGGAAUAAACCGAUAUAACCCACCUCGAGAGCUAAUCCCUGGCAGCAAAGAAUGCCAUCAGCUGCGGAACAACCUGCCGGAUCAACCGAAGUCCUCCAAGUCCAGAAAUCGAGCUAACUCCAAGCUCUACAAUCAAAAUCCAUCAAUUCUGACCACGUAUAACAACAGCAGGGUAAAAUAAGGGUUCGACCAAGCUAACCUUCACCAAAUCCUUCAAUCUUGGGCUUCGUGGAUUCCUCUCGAAGUCCUGAAUCCAACGAACCAAGUUUCGUCGCAAUCCGACACUCCUACGUAGCGUACGAGCCGAAACGCCAACGGUCGGUGCAGGAAAUUUGCAAAACAGCAUCCUUGAGCUCGGAAGUAAUAAGGACUUGCCAUGGUUGGAGGAAUUGAUGAACAUCUCACUUAAACAGCGACUCUAGCACCGGCGCGACGUCGAGAACAGCGAACACGCACCCUCGCCCGGCCUCCUCGUGAUGCUACGGUAACAAACGCGCGCUCGAACGGCUCCGCGGCUCGACGUCGACGACGAAGUACUCUACCCGAGCUCCUCCUACACGAUCGGUUUAGCUAGAGAGAGAGAGGAGAAGAAGAAGCAGGAAGAAUACUCCCUCUCAAGCUCUCUAUACCUGUAAAUAGUAAAGGGGUGGAGUGGUGACACGAACGAGGUGAGAAAAGACCCAAUUGCCCUCUCACCUACCCUGGCGUACCGGUACACGAGCUCGCGUACCGGUACAAGAAGCCAACCCGAGAGCAGUCUGCGCACAGCCUGUGCAGUGUACCGGUACACCCUGCUUGCUGUAUCGGUACAGCAAGCAGAGAAACCUGCUAUUUGCAUAUUCCCUUACUAAAUGCUGCUCUCGCGUCGCAUAAAAUCCGUUUUGCGUCUAUUUCACGCUAACGUGACUCAGAAUUGUCCCGACACUCUCCAGAGCUGUCGGCAAGCCUUAACAGCAGAACACCAGGGAUCUCACAUCAACAACAAUAUUCUUUUCUUAAGAUGGAAAGAAACUCUCUAAUGCAAAGUUUUUUAGUAUUAAAUAUAGUAAGAAAGUUGUUUAUUUAAUAUCUUUAGGUCAUAUCCCACUAUUAACGAACUUAAUUAACAUCAAAUAAUUGAUGGGCCAAUUUAAUUUAAUAUAUAUUAUUAGACGUACGGUGAAGGAGCAUUAUAAUUAAGUUUACUUUCAAAUAAUUGAAGCCAAAUAGUGCAGUCACUAACCAGCAAAAAGUGAAUAGUAAUCCCAAAUUCCAAGCUUUUUUCUAGAGUCAGAGCUUUGGUAAUUCAAGGGCCGGAAAAUGUUUACACCAUGUUUGCGAUGUGUCUAGAGCUCCAUUGAGGGGCCGUUUGAUUCGACGUAGUUAUAAAUACAGUAUAUUUAAAAAUAUAUGUAGUUGGAAAUAUCGUAAUUAUAAUUAUAUGUAUUUUGUUUGGUUGGAUGUAGCAGAAAGUGCUACAGUUAUAAAUAUUUAUGUUGAAAAUUUUAUCAUUUUAUGUGUAGGAUGAUAAGAUUGGCUCUUAUGUAGGAAAACAACUUUUUUUCUAAAAAAAAGGUUAUUAGAAAAAUAAAUUUAUUUUGGUUUAAAAUUACUCUCUUCAAAUAUUGUGCGCGGCAGCGGCACAGUAUCAACUGUUGCAGCAGUUGAGAUUUCUCGUGCAGGUGCAAUUGCAACAGGAGAAAUCAAAUGCAUCAAAAUAUUUACGAAAUUUGGAUACAUAUGUCCAAUUGCAGGCCUAGUUAUAACUUCAUGCAAUGAAACCGUUUCUUUAACGAGGAGAAAAAUUUUAAUCUUGAAGGUGAUGGGGACAAGAUAGCCAGAAAUCAAAAUCUUGUAAAUAUGCACGUACGAGAUUGAUUUAGCCCCUCGCCUUGAAAAUAUCCUGAGUGUAAGAACUAGUGCAGUCCUAUGCGUGCGUGCAGAUGAAGUUGAUCAUCCGCGUACCAAAGCCAAGAAGACGAAUAAGAGGAAAAGAAGAAGCAAAUGGAUCGAGAUGGCUACGUAUAUGCAUGCUUCUUAAUUAAAGAAGACGUGGACACACCUCUCUCUCUCUCUUCUCUCUCUCUCUAUAUAUAAUAUAUUGAGUCUAGAGUUUUUUUGUACUCAUAAAUUUUCGACCGUUAAAUCUACUCUUUCGAUUAUUUUUAUCUGUUAAAUCAUACUAUUCAACUAACUACUCUCACUCAAUACAAGGAGACCACUAUCGUCAUAACCGGGGACUACUAUUAUUCCAACCGUAUAUUUUUUUCAUUCAACGACCGAAAACUUAUCAGUACAAAUAAAUUUAUACUCAUAAAAGUAUAGUAUCUCUAUCAUAUAUAUGAGUCCAGCUACUCUUAUAAGUACGUAUAGAUUUUUUUGUACUCAUAAGUUUUCUACCGUUACAUCUAUUCUUUUUAACUAUUUUUAUCUGUUAUAUCAUACUAUUCAACCAGCCACCCACUCAACCUUAGGAACUACUAUCAUCAACAAAAUUCCCUAAAUUCCCUUUCGUUAUUGUCUGACUCACAACAAUUUGUCAAUUUAUUUCCAUGUUUACUGCAUCAUCUCUUUUUAUUUUUUUUACUCUGAUUCUCUCUCUCCCCAUGGUCUAUUAGUUCGAUGUAUAAUUUGAGAGGUGGGUCACAUCAAAAGUCAUGAGAGUGACAUAAGUAUUGCAUACAGCAAAUAUCAUAUAUUGCAUACACUCAGUCUACAAAAAUAUCAUAUACAGCAAAUCUUUUUUAAUGAUUAAUAAUUUAAAAUCUAUAAGAUAUAUAAUUUGAGAGUUGACAAUUCUAUCACAUCACAAAAAUCAUUAAUACUAAUUAUCAGAUAUUUCAUUAAUUAUCUAAUAUACUUUUGCGGUGUAUAAAAUAUUAGUAUACACCAAAUUGAAGCAAAGAUUUCUCUUUUCUUUUGAAAUUAUUAGCGCACUCUCUUAAACAUUCUCUACACUUUGUGUAUAUAAAAACAUACACAACAUAUUUUAAAUCUUUAAUAGAGAUUUUGAAAUUUAAUUUAGUGAAUAUAUUUAAUUUAUUAAACUUUGUAAUUAAGAUAUAUUUAAUUAAAUUUUGAUAUUAAAUAUUAAUUCUUUAAUAUAAGUUAUGGUGUAUAGUGUGUUAAUAUACAUUAGACAUAUAUAAUAAUUUUUUUCACCGAGUGUUAAUACAAGUAUAUAUAUAAUAAGGCAAACUUCAAUUACCUUCUAGUUAUAACUUUGAUACUGAUUUAAUGAAAAAAAGAAAUAGUGGAAGGGAUAAUAAAAAUAGAAAAAAUGAAACCAUGGGGUACUAAAUCAAUAUAUUUUAAAUUACAAGAUACCAAAGUGAGAAAGUGUAAAACCAUAGGAGUAGCAUUUGAAUUUUUUCUAUAUAAUAACAUACACCAAGUAUAUAUAUACACCAGAUAUAUAUAAUAAUUUAGAAUAAGUUCUACGAUUUGAAUUUUUUAAUUAAAAACUUUAUUUAUAGAAUAACCACAAAAACUACUAUGUUUGAUCAAAAUUUUAAGUGAAAUUUUUAGAACACUUUAACUAAAUAAAUACUGAAAGUUAAAAAAUAUUAAUAAAAAAAUAAUUUUUAUAAUGUAUAAAAGACUACAUAAUUUUUUUAUUUUUUAUUAUAAUUUUUUAAUUUUUAAAAUUUUAAUAAUUAUAUAUAUUAAUUGACUAGAACACUAUCGAUCUACUGUGAAACGCUAUACCUUUACUAGUUUUUAACUACGUUGUGUUACAUUAUCCGUUGGUAGGCCCGCCUGUCUAGCAUAUGAAGGGUUUGCUACUGGGGCGGCGGCUGGAUUGCCUGCUGACAUUAUCUCAAAAUAAAAAAAAAAAAAAUCUGGCCUUUCCAUGUGAUUGCAGUUCAGUUCGGGCUACACAAAAUUCUGUGGCUUAAUUAUAUACAUAGUUAGUUAAUUCGGAUUCAAUAAAAAUUCGGUAUGGAUAUAAUUCGGAUAAAAUUUGUUUUUUAAUUUUUAAAUUCGUUGAAAAAUACUGCUAAAAAACGGAUCCGGUAAUUAUUCGGAUACGUAAUUUAUACUGAUAUUAUACGUUCACCAAUUAAAAAUUCGGAAUAAAAAAUUCGGCUAUAUAAUAAAUAUAUAAUAAUUAAUAUACUAUAUAUAUUAUUAUUAUAAUUUUUAUAUAUAGAUUAANNNNNNNNNNNNNNNNNNNNNNNNNUCCCCCUAGAGUUGUCUACGAUGCCGCCGAGAGGGAGUAUAGGUCUUUGUGAUUGAUUGUAAGUUCUGCGAACGCACCAAUCUCGAAGGCACCUUAUCGAAUGGCACCGGCAGCUGAGAGAGCUAAAGGCGCAGCUCAGGAUUGAUGAUAAGGGGUUAUGAGACCCAGUGUUGACUUGGGGAGACGCCGGGUUAUUGUAGAAGAAGAUGGUUCGCCUUAGUUAUGUGUGGAUUUACCGGGAGCUGAAUAAAGUCGACCAUCAAUAAACAAUAUGCCAUUGCCCGCAUUUGAUAUUUUUUGAUCAGGCUGCAGGGAUUCUUAUGUCCUUCUCGAAAUUGAUCUCCAGUCGCGGUUACCACCAGUUGAAGGUGAUGGGCGCGAGGAUGUUCCCAAGACGGCUUUUCGGAACAUGGUGGGCGGUACAGGAGCAUUAUGAGUUCACAGUAUCGCCUUUUGGUAUUGACGAAAGCCGACUGCCGCAUUCAAUGAUUGAUGAAACAGCGUGUUCAAGCCGUUCUUCGGAUAGAUUUGUGGUAGUCUCAUCGACGACAUCUUGAUAUACUCCCGGAAAGUAAUGCUGAGCAUGAGGAGGCACUUGAGGAUUGGUGCUAAGCUUCUGCGAGAGAAGAAGCUGUAUGCCCAAGUUAAAGAAGUGCGAGUUCUGGUUACGAGGUUCUUUCUCUUGGGCCACGUGAUUUCAGGUGAGGCUGUAGCAGGGACCGAAGAAGGAUUGAAGGCGAUUCGAGAUGCCUAGACCGACGGACAGUGACUGAGGUACGGAGUUUCCUUGGACGGCCAGGAUAUUACGUCAGGUUUGUGGAAGGCUUUGCGAAGCUUUUCCAUACCCCUCACUUGCUUGCGCGGAAGGAACUUACAUUUGUUUUUUGAGUACGACUAGUCAGAAGGGGAAGUGGAGUUUUGAACGGAGUUGAGACUGAGGUUAACGCAGCUCCGUAUCUUGCCGCUUCCUGUGAGGGCGAAGGAUUCGUGAUCUAUAGUGAUGCAUCGCACAGUGGACUUGGUGUGUCUGAUCAAGCUGUAGGGUAAUUGCUUCAUGCUUCACGGCGCAUUAAAGGAUUAUGAGAAGAAUACCUACGCAUGACUUAGGAGCUUGCCGCGGUGCGUUUUUGCUUUGAAGUUAUGCCGCAUACUUGUACGGCGAGCACUCGAGGUUUUCACUGGAUCAUAAAAGUCUCAAGUAUUUGUUCCAUCAGAGGGAGCUGAACCUUGAGCAGCUGCCGGUGGUUGGAGUUGCUGUAAGGAUUUAUGACAUUAGUAUUCAGUAUCACCCCGGCAGGCCGAAAUAGUGCAGAUACGGUUGAGCAGGAAGUCAGUGCAGAGCCUGAGUUUGAUUAUCACUGAACCGAGCAGAGACCCUUACUCGAGGACUGCAGCGGCUGGACUUGAGGUAGUACGCCCUGGUUCUACGCGAGGCUGACGUCUCUAGUUGCCACCCCACUCUGUUGAUAUAUCACGGAGAAACAGAGUGAAGAUCCGUCUUGUUGAGGAAUUAGAAGAGGCAGGCUAGACAGGGGCAGGCUGUAGAGGGUUUUUGUUUGGACACGUUUGGGAGACUACGGUACGGGGACCGACUGUGUGUGCCAGUGGAUUCAGAUAUUCGAGCAGAUAUUUUGAGAGAGGGCGCAUUGUUCUCAUAUACGGUUCACCCUGGUGGAACCAGAUGAUAGAUUUAAAGGCACAGUUCUGGUGGCAUGGAUUGAAAAGAGAGACAUUGCGUAGAUUCGUGGCUCAGUGUUUUGACUUGGCCAACAGGUGAAGGCGCGAGCACAGGGUAACCUUACUGGCAAGCUUCAGAGUCUGCCAGUGCCCGAGUGGAAGUGGGGAGAAAUCACGAUGGAUUUUUUGUGAGGAUUUGCCUAGAGACAGGGUGUUAUGAUGCGUUUGGUAAUCAGUGGACAGACUGACCAAGUCUGCCCAGUUCCUACCAGUUCAGACACCUGCGUCCAGCUGAGAGAGACCGCACGAGCUUUAUCUGGAUGAAUUGUCAGGCGUACAUGGUGUGCCAGCUACGAUUGUAUCAACGAGACCCAGAGGUCGUGUCCUCAUUUCUGAGGAGUUUACAGACAGCUUUGGGGACUCAGUUACAUUCAGCACAGCAUUUCACCUCACAAACGAUGCGUCGUCAGAGCGGACGCAUUCAGACUCCUAGAGGACAUGUGAGAGCAAUGUGUCCUGGACCUUUGGAGGAUGGUGGUAUCGACACUUGAGGUAGCAGAGUUUGCGUACAACCACAGCUAUCAAACGAAGCAAUUCAGAGUGGCUCCGUUUGAAAGCGUUUAUUGGACGCAAGUGUCGAUCUCCCGUUGUUUUGAGUGAUGUGGGUGAGAGGAGAAUUGGCCUGAGUUGUUUGCUAGAGGCUGAGGAAAAGGUGAGAAUUUACGACACCUUCUGACAGCCGAGACGCGACAGGAGCUAUGCCGACAGGAGACGAAACUUAGAGUUCCAGAUUGGAGAUCAUGUUUUCUUCAAACGUCUCGCCGUCCAGAGGGAAUUCGCGAUUUGGAGUGCGUGGAAAGCUCAGUCCACGUUUCGUUGGCCUUUUUGAGUUAUUGAGCGAACGUUGACCAGUUGCUUACCGGAUUGCUCGCCCACCCGACUAGCUAGGGAUGGAUCAUGAUGUUUCCACGUCCCGGCCGUUGAGGAGAUAAUGUUUUUCGAUCCUUUACGUGAUUGACUUCAUCCACUAGAGAUGUGGCGAGGACUUGAGGGGGGAGAUUACGAGGGGGAGCGACGAUCGCGAUUCUUGCUCGUGAUGACGAAAGAAUUGCGAACCGGGUAUCACGUAUUGUAAAGUGCAGUGGAGCAAUCACGUAGGAGCGCGGUGAACGCGAGAGCAGAACGGGGUAUGAGGAGUCCUAUCCCGAAUUGUUCGCAUACUCGGCUCUUGGGUAUGUUUUUAAGUUUCCGAGGACGAAACUUUUUUAGUGGGAGGAUGUAGUAUCCUUCUUUCAUAUAUAUAUCAUAUAAUAAUAUGUAGUACCUAGUAUAAUGUGGCAUGCGUAUGGAUGCCACGUGCACUCCCCCAUGCAUGCUUAUUCUGGUUUGAGGGUGGUAAAUUAAGUUAGUUGUUGUUCUCCUCUUUAUGUUGUAAGUACGAGAACCACACGAGGUGGAGCUUGGGGAGUGAGCGUGGAGCUCGGAUCCAACGUCGAUUCGCUGCCGCGGAGCGCUUCGAGGAUACGUUGCUAGUCGUAGCAUCGCGAGGAGUCCGGGCGAGGGUUGGUUCGCCUGUUCUCGGCUAAUGUUCCGCGUUGGAUUUAGCAUACGAGUGGGUUUAUCAUCGGAAUCCUAUACUUCUAUAUAUUGUCAUCGAUAUGUAUCGUUAAUAUUUACAAAGUGUUUAUGUUUAGCUCAAAUUCAAUGAGUAGGUUGUUUUAGAAUUAUAAACUUGAAUUGGAGCAUGUUAUAUUAGUUGUUAAUUAAUCAUCACAUGUGGGACUUGAUAAAACAUAGGAGAAAACAGCGUUCCGGAACCCUGGCAUAUGUUGAAUUACCUGAUUUAGUUUAGGGGCCGUUGUAUUUUUUAUACAGCUUGUUGGUUUUCGAUUCGGUUGUGUAGUACCCCAGUAGUUUAGUUUACUGCUUACACUCGUGCUGGAUCGUUGAGUUUAUUUUAUAGUAUGUUUGACUGUUCUGCUAGUGCGGUCCGUCUGUUGGUGACGGUGGCACCCGGAUUUGAUCAUUGUGAGAUUUGUUAGUCCGAGGAGCAUGCUGGAAUAGUGUGUUAGUGGCUUCAGUGAGAACCUUAUUGCUUCUUUAUAGCCUGUGAGGCCGAGGCCUGAGAUUGACAGUACGUCAUGGGUCGCCGCCACGAGAGCCAUUCCGGAAUGAUGUUUCAUGCGAUGGUAGUCGCAGUUUGUUUAAUAUAUGUACUGGCCACGUUGCGGGGUGGUGUACGGCAUAAGCUUGAUUACAGGCAGAGUGGUCCGUUUUGGACAGAUCAAAUAAUUUGUGGUGAUCAGUUUUCAAUGCGAUUGCAUCCGAGUGCAAUAUUAGAUACAGUACGAUAGUUAGUGGCAUAUAGCUGUAGAUUCUUUCCAAGCUUUUAUUUCCAGCCGGUUAUGUUUCCCUACUGUAGUCAUUAGUGGUUGGUAGCGCGAUGAUGUUGAGGGCGGUAGCCCACUGACGGAUACUUUUCUUUUACAGUAGUUCUCACGCCCAGUUGCUCCCUGUUGUUUGCAGAGCCUUCUGUUCCGCGCUGCAGUUUCUGAGAUCGAUCGAGGAAGGUGUCGCGAGUUAGAGCCUAUACCUGACGAUGUCGCGCUGCUAGAGGUAUCCCCAGCUUGCAGGUAGUUAGAGUUUUAUUUGUUUCGAGUAUUAUGUUACAUACUGAUACUGAACCGCUGGAGCGAUGUGGUUUGUACUUUGUUAUAAGUAUGUAUACAUUUGAGAUGCUUUCUUCUUUUUGUUUUACCUGCUUUAGUCUUUACAGCUCUAACGCUACUGUUUGUACAUUGUUUUGUUUACAGGAUAUACGUGAUUGCUCGGUAUACAAGAAAAUCUUCUUGUAUUACGGCAGAUUAAUUAGCGGCCCGGAAGAAGUGCUUCCGGUGGCGUGACAAUUAUUAUAAUAAUAUUUUACAUAAAAUAAAUACUAUAUAUAAUAAAUAUUAUAAUAUAAUUUAUAAUAAAAUUAUAUAUAUAUAUAAUAUAUAUAAUAUAAUAAGCUGGGGCUACUUAUCUAUAUGAGUAUAGACUUUGACUCAUAAACUUUGGCUGUUCAGAUGAAAAAAUGUCGGUUCGAGAUGAGAGUGGUUGAACGGUUAGUUGUAGUGAGGCCCCGCCUAUGGUUGAGUGGGUGGUUUCGUUGAUAGUAUAUCUAACGGGUGAAAAUGCUUAAAGGGUAGAUCAACGGUAAAACAUUUAUGAGCUACAAAUAAGGCUCUAUACUCAUAAGAGGUAUAGUGCCGACAAUAUUAAUAUAAUUAUAUAUAUAUAUAUGAGAGAGACGAGUUGGACUGGGCUACUAUUAAGUAGCAAGAAUUUUCAUUGUUGCUACAAGUUUUUUAGCCUUUGGAUCAACUCUUUCAUCUAUUUCUAACCAUUGGAUUAAAUACUAUAAGCAUGUGGGGACCAUGUCAAUCCCUAGGGGGACCACUCAACUCUAACCGACUAAUAUGCAUCCAGACCCUACAUAAUUUUUCAUCGUAAGGCGUUGAGAAAUCUUGAUAGCAAAAAGAGCGUUUUACUAUUAUAGUAUUUCCAGGCCUUAAUAUACUAUAUAUAUAUAUAUAUAUAUAAUUAUGAUAUAUAUAUAUAUUAUAUAAUAUAUAUAUAUAUAUAUAUUAUAUAUAUAUAUAGUGGAUGGGCUACUAAUUAAUAACAAAUCCCAUUGUUGCUACAGUUUUGUUAGGCCUUUUGGAUCAACUCAUUUCAUUCAUUCUAAACUUCUGGAUUAAAAUACUAUAACCCAGUUGGGACCAACUCAACCCUAGGGACUACUAACUCUAAUCGAUAUCAUGCAUCCUGACCCUACAAUUUUUCAUCCAAGGCGUUAAAACUUGAUAGAAAAAGACGUUUUACUAUUAAUAGUCACAGCCUAAUUCUAUAUAUAUAUUUAUAUAAUUAUAUAUAUUAUAUAUAUAUAUAAUAUAUAUAUAUAUAUAUAUAUUAUAUAUAUAUAUAUAUAUAUAUUAGAGUGAGGUCUAUUGCUAUCGAAGCCCGAGCCUUCUGUUGCUUCCAGCUCGUUUUCGAUGUUGCGACUUUCGAUAUCGUCGAUCGGCUCAUUAAACUUGAUCAUAGAGUAUUUGAAGUAUCUAGAAAAUAAAUUUUAAUGAUUUUUACGAUAUCAUUGCAAGUGAACGAAGGCGGCUCAAAAUCAACGCUGAAAAUAAAAAUCUUACAAAAUGUAAUAAUAUGACAUUAAAUUUUUAAAUCACAAGAUAUUGAUUUGUUUAUAUAUAGUAUAAAGAAUUUUCUAAUCAAAAUUUCACGUGAUUUGGAUAUUUCUACACCGUCUAAACUUACAAAACGCUCACUACGCCAUUAAAAUUUGUUGAUUUUUGACGCCCAUUCGAUCACUAGCAAAUGAUAUCGAAAAAAUAAUAAAAUUUAUUUCUAGGUACUUGCAAAUAUUUAUAGAUCAAAGUUUACGAACCGAUCGCGAUUCAAAAGUGCAAACCAUCGACAACAAGUGGCAAGCCGGAAGGCUCCGCUGUAUCGAUAGCAUAGUAGCCAUCACGUCUAUAUUAUAUAUAAUAUUAUAUAUAUAUAUAUAUAUAUAUAGAUAUAAUUGAGCUCUAUGCUUUUGAAAGUACCAGACAUUGUGCUUUGUAAGUUUUAGCCUUUAGAUUAAAAAUAUUAUGUGCGGUUAGGAUGAUGUGGACCUCCUAGGGUUGAGUGGGUGGUUGGUUGAAUAGUAUAAUCUAACGUGUAUAUAUGAUCAACAGUGCUGAUCUAACGGUUAAAAACCUACAAGAACAAAGUGAUUGGUGCUUUCACAAGCACCAUAGCCGGACUCUAUAUAUAUAUAUAUAUAUAAUGAGAGAGAGGUCCACUAUGGACCACCUUAUCAUGCGGUCCACGAGGCCUCAUGGAUCGCACGAUCAAUGCGCUCCCAGCCUCCCAACGCCGCGCUUUUUCGCGGACGGCCUCGGGCGAGACGGACGACGCCACGCGGCCCUCUUGCUCCCAAUGCCGGCCAGGGCGGCGAAGGAGGAGUACGAUGACGCCCCGCGGCCCUCUUGCUCCCGGCGCCGGCCAGGGUCGCGGAGGAGGAGUACGACGACGCCCGGUGACCCUUUUGCUCCCGGCGCUGGCCAGGGCGGCGGAGGAGGAGGACGACGACACGAACAAGUUCGGCGACGAGAGCGGCGAGUCCGCGACCCGCGGCCGCCAGUCCGCGACCGCGAGUGCUGUUUUUUUGGGCAAAUCGUUCGCGAACCGCGAAUAAUUCGCGGAUAAUUAUUUUUGACGAAAAAAACGCGAUUUUUUUCGAAUUUUUUGGAAAAAUAUGGAAACGGACGUUUAAUUCGUAUCUUCAAAAAUUCGCGAAUAAUUCGCGAAUUAUUCACGAAUUUACUAACAGAGAUUAUAUAUAUAGAGUUGGACUGGAAUAACAUUAAUAGUAAAAGACUCUUUUUGCUAUCAAGUUUUUUUGGAUAAAAAAUUGUAAAGUUAGGAUGAUAUUAGUCCCUUAGGGUUGAGUGGUCCCCACUGGGUUAUAAUAUUUAAUUCAAUGGUUAAAAAUUAUGAAAGGAAUUGAUCUAAAGGCUAAAAAUUUGAUAGCAAAAAGGAGCUUUUGCUAUUAAUAGUAUUCUAGCCCCUCUCUCUCUCUCUCUCUCUCUCUCUCUCUCUCUCUCUCUCUCUNNNNNNNNNNNNNNNNNNNNNNNNNNNNNNNNNNNNNNNNNNNNNNNNNNNNNNNNNNNNNNNNNNNNNNNNNNNNNNNNNNNNNNNNNNNNNNNNNNNNNNNNNNNNNNNNNNNNNNNNNNNNNNNNNNNNNNNNNNNNNNNNNNNNNNNNNNNNNNNNNNNNNNNNNNNNNNNNNNNNNNNNNNNNNNNNNNNNNNNNNNNNNNNNNNNNNNNNNNNNNNNNNNNNNNNNNNNNNNNNNNNNNNNNNNNNNNNNNNNNNNNNNNNNNNNNNNNNNNNNNNNNNNNNNNNNNNNNNNNNNNNNNNNNNNNNNNNNNNNNNNNNNNNNNNNNNNNNNNNNNNNNNNNNNNNNNNNNNNNNNNNNNNNNNNNNNNNNNNNNNNNNNNNNNNNNNNNNNNNNNNNNNNNNNNNNNNNNNNNNNNNNNNNNNNNNNNNNNNNNNNNNNNNNNNNNNNNNNNNNNNNNNNNNNNNNNNNNNNNNNNNNNNNNNNNNNNNNNNNNNNNNNNNNNNNNNNNNNNNNNNNNNNNNNNNNNNNNNNNNNNNNNNNNNNNNNNNNNNNNNNNNNNNNNNNNNNNNNNNNNNNNNNNNNNNNNNNNNNNNNNNNNNNNNNNNNNNNNNNNNNNNNNNNNNNNNNNNNNNNNNNNNNNNNNNNNNNNNNNNNNNNNNNNNNNNNNNNNNNNNNNNNNNNNNNNNNNNNNNNNNNNNNNNNNNNNNNNNNNNNNNNNNNNNNNNNNNNNNNNNNNNNNNNNNNNNNNNNNNNNNNNNNNNNNNNNNNNNNNNNNNNNNNNNNNNNNNNNNNNNNNNNNNNNNNNNNNNNNNNNNNNNNNNNNNNNNNNNNNNNNNNNNNNNNNNNNNNNNNNNNNNNNNNNNNNNNNNNNNNNNNNNNNNNNNNNNNNNNNNNNNNNNNNNNNNNNNNNNNNNNNNNNNNNNNNNNNNNNNNNNNNNNNNNNNNNNNNNNNNNNNNNNNNNNNNNNNNNCAACCAUUAAAAUUACUAAUUUUGAAACCUUUUGAUCAUUAGGUAAAUGAUGUCGAAAAGAUUUAAAAUUUGAUUUCUAGAUACUUCAAGUGAUAUAGAUCAUGUUCAACGGUGCCGAUCGUCGAUUUGAAAGCUCCAUUAUCGAAAACAAAUGGGUAGCAACGAAGCCCGUUUGCUACCGAUAGCAUUCCAGCUCAACUAUAUAUAUGUGUGUGUGUGUGUGUGUGUGUGUUCGGCUGUGAUACUAUCAAUAGUACCAAGCGUUUUGUGCUAUCAAGUUUUUUCCGCCGUUAGAUUUAACACUUUGACUAUUUUCACUCGUUAGAUUAUAUUAUUAAACCAAUAACUCACUCAACCCUAGGGGGCCCACAUCAUCCUAACCGCACAUCUCUUAAUCCAAUGGCUAAAAACUUGGUAGCACCAAUAUCUUGGUGCUAUUAAUAGGCUGAUAUACUAUCGGUAGCACGGAGGCCUCCAUGCAACUAUGUUGUUUUCAAUGAUGCGGCUUCCAUAUUGACGAUUAACUACGUUAGACUUGCUCUACAUUAUUAAAAGUAUUUGGAAACUAAAUUUCAUAAUUUUUCGAUAUCAUUUAGCUAGUGAUCAAAGGUGUUAAAAUUGACAAUUUUAAUAGUCGAUGUGAUGCGUUUGUGAAUUUAACGGUGUAAAAUAAUUCAAAUCUGAUAAAAUUUUUAUAGAAGAUUUCUUUUACUAUUUAGAGUAAGAUCCAUAACUCUGAUUUUAAAUUCAAGUCUUUUAUCAUCAUUUUUUAUAAGAUUUUUAUUUUCAGCCGUUUAUUUUUAGACUACUUGUUUAAUAGGUAAAUGAUGUCGAAAAAUUAUAAAAUUUAGUUUCCUAAUACUUCAAUAGUGUAGAUCAAGUCUAACGGAGCCGAUCGUCGAUUUGGAAGCUACAUCAUUGAAAACAACUUGGUAGCACGGAGGCCUCCGUGGCUAUUUUGGUUGAAAACUACAAUUCAUAAGUUUAUAUUAUUUAGCUAUGUGAUGAAAAGGUCUCAAAUAACAAUUUAAUGACCGCUGUGUUACGUUUUUUGAAUUUAAACAGUAUAAAACAUAAUCCAAAUCUAAUGAAUGUUUAUGAAAUUGUUUUUUUAGCUAUUUAGAGUAAGAUCAGUACUGUUGAAUUUUAAAUUCAAGUCUGUAUAUCAUAUUUUUGAUGAAUCUUAUACUUUAGUCCGUUCAUUUUGACUGCUCAUCUGCAUAGGUAAGAUAAUAUCAAAAAUUAUAAAAUUUAGUUUUCCAAAUAGCUUUCAAAUUGUUAGAUCAAAGUCUAACGCGUAGCUGAUACGUGCGAUUAGAAGCGCGAGCUUUCGUUUGCCACCGAUAGUGAAUAUCAGCCCGCCUGACUCUCUGCUCAUCUCAUGAUCCGUUCUCUAUUUCUCUUCUCGCUCCCCCUGAUAUCUUCCGCCCCCUCCCAUCUCUCCCCCUCCACAUCUCUCCUCCGCCCUCCCCGGUGCUCUGUCUCUCCUGCUCUGUCCUCUGUCUCUAUAACUAUAUAUUAUAUAUAUAUUAUCUAUAUAUAUAAUAUAUAUAUAGUAUCGUAUAAUUAUAUAUAUAUACUACUUAUAAAAGCGUGAGUUUUAAAUUUUUUUUCCUUUCCAAAAAUAUCUCUAUCUUUUUUACUAAUAUUUUCAUGUCGAGUAAUUUUCAACCAUUUAUUUGAAAUAAAUCUUCAAAUAAUAAUUUAUUCUCAAAUAUAGAUUUAAAUUUCUACCAUUGGAUAUCAUAAUAAAAGUAUCUGUCUCUUUUGUUGACGAAAAUACCCUACAUAUUCGUUAUCUCUUAUCUACGCGUUUCUCAAAUAUUUUCUUCCCCUACACAUCCGUUAUCUCCUAUUUACGCAUUUAUCAAAUAUUUUUUUCCUACCCACCAAUCAUGUAAUAGGUCAAAUUAAAUUUAUCUCAAAUCUAACGUAAUAUCUGCUAAUCAUAUAAUACAUAAAAUUAAAUUUAUCUCCUAUCUAACAUAAUACCCGCCAAUCAAAUCAUGUAAUAUGUAAAAUUAAAUUUAUCUCAUAUCCACCAUUUUUCUCAAAUAUUUUCUUUCUCAAACGUAAUACACGCCAAUCAUGCAGUACUCAAAAUUAAAUUUUAAAUUUCUAAUGGCCACCAAUUUGAUAAUUUACAUUUUAAUUCAUAAUAGUAAAUUUUCUUAUAUGAGAUAGUAGAUUUAAUUUUGAUGAGUAUUAAAAUUUGUCGCGCCAUAGAAACGUUAAAUAUUGCUAAAAAAAUUUUAAUACCCGCCCAAUCAAAACUAAAUCGUUAAUUAAAUAUAAUUUUUAAUAUCUAUACUACUUAUAAAAGCAUGAGUUUUAAAUUUUUUUCUCUUACCAAAAAUAUCUCUAUCUUUUUUACUAAUAUUUUAAUGUCCAGUAAUUUUUAACCAUUCAUUUUAAAUAAAUCUUCAAAUAAUAAUUUAUUCUCAAAUAUAGAUUUAAAUUUUUACUAUUGGAUCUCAUCCAACGAAAUAAAUCUUCAAAUAAUAAUUUAUUUUCAAAUAUAAAUUUAUAUUUUUACUAUUGGAUCUCAUCCAACGAAUAAAAAUAAAAGUAUCUGUCACUUUUGUUGACAAAAAUAUCCUACAUAUUCGUUAUCUCUUAUCUACGCGUUUCUCAAAUAUUUUCUUCCUAUCCGCCAAUCAUGUAAUACGUAAAAUUAAAUUUAUCUUAAAUCUAACGUAAUAUCUGCCAAUCAUAUCUCCUAUCUAGCAUAAUACCCGCCAAUCAUGUAAUAUGUAAAAUUAAAUUUAUCUUAUAGCCACGCGUUUUCUCAAAUAUUUUCUUUCUCAAAUGUAAUACUCGACAAUCACGUAGUACUCAAAAUUAAAUUUUAAAUUUGUAAUGCCUGCCAAUUUGAUAAUUUACAUUUUAAUUCAUAAUAAUAGAUUUUCUUAUGCGAGAUAGUAGAUUUAAUUUUAAUGAGUAUUAAAAUUUGCCGCACCAUAGAAGCGUUACAUAUUGCUAAAAAAUUUUAAUACUCGCCCAAUCAAAAUUAAAUCGUUAAUUAAAUAUAAUUUUUAAUAUUUUUAGUAAAAUAUUCAAGUAAUAUCCGCUAAAAUAUUCUAUGCGUUUCUCAAAUAUAGAGUAUAUCUUAAUACCCUCACAUAUAAUAUCUACAGUAUCUAAUCUUAUCUCAUCAUAAUACUUAUAAUGUCACGCCCCGAGACCGCUACCAAUUUGGUCCGGUUCGGGCGCGUCGAAUAGACGCCGAACGGACAGCACCUCCCCUAUCCGCCCAAGGCUCAACAACAGAUCGAGUACAAGAAUUUACCCAGGAAUUUAAAUUCUAUAAGUACACAAUCAAC